AAAAAGAAGCAAAGAUGGGGUUUGUGAGGGUCUACACAAAACCACAGCACUGUGGCGUUGGUCAUGCUCUACAAGAUGAGGUUGCGGUCUAUUUCUCCUCAGACAUACUCAGCAAUUUCUUGAAGAUUUAAACCUGGAAUACUUUUAGCACUUGAUCUUGCAUCAGGAGAAUGGGUUGGGUAAAUCAACAGAGCAUGCCAUGAUAUAGCUCCAACAGCCAACCAUUAAAAAGUCCAAGUGGUUAGAACUUUGUGGCUUUCGCGUCUCCUAGAACAACUGUUGCUGUCAAAAACCAGGGAAAUGAAAACACAUUCCAAGAUCCUCAUAAUGUUUGAGGUCAUGGGUGACAGUGCAGUGCUGGUAUAUGAAAACUGAUUCAAUUGCAUCCAUCAUUAAUCGAAAUCAUGAACAGAUUGCGUAUUUUGAUUCAGGAUAACGAGACUUUCAAACCAAGAUCUCAAAGUAAUUGUUUUUUUUUUUAUGAAAAGAAAGAGUCUCAUAGGUAGGCAGUCAAAGUUGUUGGCUACUAUAGAAAAUUUUACGAUUUCCACUUUUGUUAUUGAAUUUUAAUUCUAUCUUUUAAUUUGAUAAUUUUCAAUCAAAACUAAUUUUUAAAUUUCUAAUUUUGAUGAUUAUUAUAUUUUAUUUUUACAAUAAAAAUAUUUAUAUUAAUUUAUUGUGAAAAUUUAAUAAAAUCAAUUCAAUUUUUAAUUAAAAUGAAAUAUAUUCACAUUAUAAAACCCUCUCAAUUAUAUUUUAAAGACAUGCCUAUUUAUUUUUUAUUACAAGUGAACUUAUCCUGUGAGGAUAUAUAUAGAAACAAAAAAAAAAUUACCAAUCAAAUUUCACCAUGUGUUAUUUUUAUUUUUACAUAAAAAGAUGAAAUAAAAUAGAUAAAAUAACAUGAAAAAAAUGGACCUUUACAUAUAUUUUGGUCAAUAGAAAAUUGACACAUAAAAUAAGAUAUUUAAUACAUCUUAUUAUAAAUAUAAGAUUUUAUAAAUAAAAAUUAAUUAAUAAAAUAAUAUCAUAUUACAUUUUUUAAUAUGAAAGCCCUUGUAAAUAUUUAUAAAUAAAAGAUCUCAUGCUAGACAAAGAAAGGAGGAAGAUUACUAGAGAUACAAAACUAUUUCAUGAUAAGCUUUUCAAGAAAAAAGAAAAAAGAAAAAAAGAGAACUAUUUCAAAAGCUUUGGAGCUUUUUUUCAUUUUACGGUUGAAAUCUAAAAAAGCAAACCUCUACUUAAUGAAGCCUAAAAUAAUACAAGUUCUAGACCUUUGCAAAACACCACCAAGCGAAAUUGCCAGUACUGCAUUUACCAUGGAAAGCACAAUAAUAAUCAUCCUUUGAUUGGAUAUCAUCAUCAUUUCCUUCCUCUUCAUGCAACCAUUGGACACCAAUCGUCCUUAUUUGAAAAGCUGGAUCUUGUAGACGCACUGAAAUACUCACGUCAUCACCAUUAUCAAAUGCAGGACCAUCGACCCCUAAUUUCAUGUGCAUUAGCGAUUGGAAUUCACGAACACCACGCUUGUAACUCAUAGGGAAGAAAGAGGCUUGACGACGCAAGGAUCGACCACUGGUAUUGUUUCUGAUUUCAAGAUAAACAUGACUAGAGUCACUGUACCCUGACGUCAUACAAAACCUUGAGAACAGAAUAAAGCCACAUAUCCGGUGCGCAGGAGGUGAGGAUAUUUUGAAUGAAAAGUUAUCUACAAACUCAUUCUGAAUUAGCCAUUUAUCCUCUUCUUCCUCCUCGUAAAACCUUGUGAACAGAUUUGCAAGUCUUUGCAGUGAAGAGCAAAAAGACACAUCUAACGAACACAAAUGGGAUGGAAGCUCUGGGAGUGUCUGAAGCAUUUUGCAAUUUCUUAAAUAUAGGUGUCUGAGUAGACCAAGAUCCUUGAUGCUUUCUGGAAGAAAACGAAUUGGAGUUCCACUUAAAUCUAGACUCUCCAAGAAGCGUGGCAUUGAAAACGAGGUAAAUCUCAACAUUUUCCUCGUUGAAAACCUAGAGGGAAAGAAUAGCUUCAAUGGAAGAGAUGAAAUGAAUGAUGUAAUUGCAACAAUUCCAUCACUUUGAAGCAACUUGCGCCCCUGAUGAUGCUCUAACUCCAUAUUUAGGCUAUUAAGAUUUGAGCAACCAUCUAAAACCAGCUCUUGAAGUGAAUUCAAUCUACUCAUUUCUUCUGGAAGCUCCAUAAGACUUGUACAAUUUCUUAGAUUUAAGAUCAACAAUCUUUGUAAAUCACCAAUAGAUUCGUGAAUUUGAACCAAACGGAUGCAGUCUUCAAGUAUUAGCUUUUCAAGGGCUGGGAGACUCGAGAAGUCUGGGGUUCUAAUGAGAUCACGAGCAUGACGGAGAUCAAGAAUUUUCAAUUUUGGAAGAAACUGUUAAAAUACAUGAAUUUAGUUGUUAUCAAUUGAAAACGAGAGAGAUAGCUAUAGAGAGACUUGAUACAUACCGUUUGCCUUUCCAAGCAUCAACUAGACAGCUUCUGGAUAGAUCAAGAACCACCAGCUUCUCCAAGCAUAUGUGAUUUGGUAUGGAGCUCCAAGACAAUCCAUGCCAACAUAACCAUAUCAAAUUCUUGGGAAAGUGCUCAAAACUUCCAUGAAAAUUAGUGUAGUUUAGCUGGAGAAAUUUUACAUCUGGCAUCUUUCUAAAAGCAUCCGUGCUAAGGAUGGGAAACAAACUUGUUUGGCUAGUUUGUAAUUUUUCCCCAUCGGGAAAAUCGGAAAGCCAUUGUUGAAAGAAGUUAAGCCUGCGGCGCUUGCGACAAACCAUUGAAUCAGUACAGACAACUUCUGCAUAAUGAUAUUCCAUUAAUGAAUGCAUAUCAAUGGUAAGGCCACGCAUUUUUUCAGCAUCCUGCAUAAUAAUAUUAAAAGUACAUGAGAAAGGAAAGUAGAUGAAUGAAUAUGUCAAGGCACCACAAACCAUUUAAGUAGACAUUUAAAAAAAUUUAGCUACUUACAGUAGUUCCUUUCAAAACUGUAAAAGCAUCCCCAUGAUGCCAUAUUCUUUGCCAUUUGGGUGAUUCUUGACGAGCAAUUUCCCUACCCAUAUCUCUUACUAGUUGAUGCAUCCACAACCUUUGAUCACUGUUGAUUUCAACAAGACAUCUAUCGAUGAGAUUGUCAAUCCCAAAUCUUGCACCUUUAUCGAGCCCAUCCAGUAUCCUAACUGCAUCAUCCACAUCCAUUCCAUUGAAGAAACAUGCGAUAUCAAGGAAUAAGUUCUUGGAUAAUCACCAUCAAGAAAGUCGUAACUUAUUCGAAGAACCUUUUGAACUUCAAAUUAGGAACACUUCCAUUUGUUGUAAUGCGCUUUCCCAUAUUUCUCUUCCUUUUCCGGACAAUGAAGAGCCAAUAACUCCAAGAGCUAAUGGAAGUCCAUUACAAUGAUGUACUAUUCUCCAAGAGUCUUCUACAAAACCAUCAACAGGGUCAGCUUGUCCAAAGGCAUUCCAACUGAAAAGCUCAAGUGAUUUUUUGUUAUCCAAAGGUUCGACUUUGCACUCGAACCACUCAAUAUCAUUAGCUGAAAACAGACCCUUAUUUCUGGUUGUUACAAUGAUUUUACUUCCUUUACGAAGCCAAUUUUGCAUGCCAAUGAUUUUAUUGAAUUGGUCCCUUUUGUCCACAUCAUCUAGAACAAUAAGAGUUCUUCUGCAACAUAAUGCAUCCUUAAUCUUCAGAAUUCCUUCAUCUUCAUCAUUUAUCUCAUCAACAGUCUUUUUUAGGAUGUCGGAAAGAAGUUGCCUCUGUAGGCAAACUAUAUGUUUUGAUCUAAAAUUUGACAGGAAGCUCUUUCCUUCAAAUUCAUAAAAGUUCUGGUUAAAAACACUCUUAACUAUAGCUGUCUUUCCAACUCCACCAAUUCCAUAGAGUAAAGCAAUGGCAGCACCAUGGGAUCCAUCUUGCAACCAUGAGUUGAUAUCUUGUACCAGAGCAUCUCUUCCAAUGAAAUGAAGGGGGACAUGAAAUAUUUUUGGAUCCAAAUUCUUUGAGACAUACUCCACAAUAGAUUGGACAAACUGUGCCUCGUACCUACAUCAAAACGUAAAGUACAAUAUACGAUAAUUGCUAGUCUCUCUAUAAUGGAUAAAAAUAGACAACAUUUAGCUAAGAAAUUAAAGCAGGUUGCAUGUCAAUGAUUGAUAGUUAAAUUUGUAGGUGCGUUAUCACCACCUACUAAAACCAAAUCAUGUUUGAAAAAAAACAAACAAACAAACAAAAGAAGAAAGAAAUUAUAGGUAUUUUUUUCUUUCUUUUAUGUUUUCUUAUCGGUCUUCAUUUAAAUACUUAACUGAAAGAAAUUAAGAGUUCACGACCAGCACUCUAGUCUUAUGCUUUGUGUAUUUUAAUCGAGAGAUGCAACUUACCCAUCUCUUAAAUCCUUUCCAGCUAAAUCUGCAACUUCCUUCAAAGCAAUCCUCCACCCCUUCACCCGCUCUAUCUCCUCGAAGCGCUUUUCUUGUUCCACAAAUGCAGCAGCGAAGCUCCCUGUUUGAUUUCUGACUUCAGAUGGAUUCACAUGGUAGAAUACCGGCAAAACUAUGGAGGCGGCAGUCCUCUUAUGUUCCAUGAUCUUCACAAGUUCAUCGAGGCACCAUCUCGACCGAGCAUAGUCUUUGGAGAACACGAUUAUCGAUAUUUUCGAUUCUUGUAUUGCCUUCCGGAGCUCCAACUCUAUAUUCUCUCCUCUCCGAAUCUCAUCAUCAUCUCUAAAUGUGUGAAACCCCGCUUGAACCAGGGCCCAGUAGAGGUGAUCGGUAAAGUUCUUGCGGGUGUCUUCACCUCUAAAACUCAAGAACACUUGAUAUUUACAAUUAGAAAACCGAGAAGAGUAGGAUUCUUGAUAUUUCCCAGCAGCCAUUUCGAGUCUAGCAAAAUAAGACUUUACAAAGAUCUGGACAGAAAAAAAAAGGAAUUGCAGGAUUAAAGUCGAUAAUUCAAGAUCGACAGCACGCCAAUAAGCUGAAGUGUUCAUAUAUUAUUAUCUUACUUUUUUCUGGAAGACAAUUUUCAAGUUAUUUCCCAGCAAUCAACUCCUCCAUGCCCUUUCAGAAAAAUACUUGCAGAUAUGAUAAAUCUCUAUGCUGAACCAACAAAAUCGGUUGAUGAGAUCAUCAAUAAUUAGUUUCUAAUAGUGAAUUAAUCGAAGUGAUUCUCAGUUACAGCAGAGUUACAUUUCACAAUAUAACAUAAUACUUAAAAGAGAUAAGAGAGAGGGAGAGAGUACCUGCAAUCUUCACUUUCCCUUCGCUGAUGUUCUGUUAUCAGUCCAUCAACUUUCUGCUUUCAAGUCAACCUCACAAGUCUCUGGGGUCUGGGUCAUUUCCGCGUUAGGACCAUUUUCUUUUUUUAUUCUUUUUUUUUAUUUGCUCAAAUCAUUUAUCACGCGUGGAGUAUAAUUACCAAAAGCGACAUUAGAGACACUCACACAAACACAAUCCCUUUCAUUAACUCACACGGUUCUUCACUUCUUCUCACUUCACCCACCAGUAUCAUCAAGGCAGUUGGUCAGUUGGUCAGUUGAGUCUGAAAUAAAAAAAAAAAAAAUUUAGUGAUUUUAUAUUUGAAUUAUUAAUUACUAAUAUAAUAGCACUAAAAUUUUUAAUUAUUUUUAUUUCAGCAUAUUAAAGAAAAAAUAAAAAAAUAUUUUUUAAAAAUAUAUUAUUAAAACGAAAAACUAAACAAACUUUUAAACACGGAUAUAUUACAUAUCAUACACAGAGUUCUGAUUAUUUGAAUCAUUGGCAGAGGCAGGGAUGGCAGGAGGGGAAGUUGCUUGUUACAUCUUUGUGUAGAUUUCUUCCCCACGACUUUCCUGACCUUCUUGUUCUUUAGGAUUUUUCUUCCCACAUAUAUUAAGAGCACCCAUGGGUCGGGCCAAUCUUACAUUAAUUAACUAUAUAUAAUUAAUGUGUAUAAUUUCUUUUGCAGUGCUUUGUCUUACUUCCAGCGCAAUAUUCCUUUUUCUUUCUUUCUUUUGUGAAAUCCAACACAUCAAAUUAUGUUAAAUUAAAGUCAAUUUUGUAAGACAAUUUUGCAUCAUUUGAAUUGAUUCUAGCUUUUUCUUUCUGUUGAAAGUCAAGUGUAUAUAUAAACAAAGAAUUAGUCGGAAGUUGCUGAUUACAGGAUCAUUGCCCCGAAAUUUGCAAUAGCUUAGCCAUAACAAUUCAGAUUUUUCGGCCAAAUAUUAUAUCGAAAAAUUGAGGGGUAAAAAACCCAGACUCUACCCUUCGUAUUGUUUCUGAUUUCAAGAUAAACAAGACGAUAAGGAUUGCAUACUGACAUAGUAGAAAACCAUGUGAAUAGAUCAAAACCACAUAUCCGGUGCGCGGCGGGUGAGGAUAUUUUGAAUGACAAGUACGUACUCUACAAACUCUUUCUACAGUAGCCACUCCUGUUCUUCCUCCUCGUGAAACCACCUUAACAUCUCAUUUUCAUCAUUUUUCAAUAUGGUUCAAAUAAAAGAAGUUUAUUUAGUUAACCAAACAAAAAUAUAAGGGAGUUAUUAAAUUUUUUUUCUUUAUACCAUCUAAAUAUUUUACACAAAAAAUAAUACGUACCGGAACGUAGCGGGACCGGAACGUAGCGGGAGAAGCAUCCUAGCCAAAGCUAACUAAUGAUGUCCAUGAAGCUCUUACUUGGGUCUCGAAAACCAUUGCAAGCGACACCUUUUUGAAGCUCAGAAAAACAAACAGGCGGAAGUGAAAUGGUACGAAAUAACAGGGCAUUCAUGAUGAAUUAUGACCUUAGGUAAAGUUAAAGCUCUUUCUUUUUCCUUAGAAUUGACUAGUUGCAGUGUAUUCUCAUUAAAGCACGACAGAGGAAAGAUGAAUGGAGAAAUUAUCUCCAUUUCACACUGCUACUUUCUCGAGAACAAUCAUCUCCAGGAAGAAAAGUCUUUUCCGAGGAUCAAUCAGUCAAUUCCUUCAAAGAUUUGUAAUGGUUACAAGGAGAGACAGUAACAAUGUCGGUCGACGUAUCAGCUCGCUAGGAGGCUGAUCCCAGGAGCGGAUGGUUUACAUGAAGGGUGGCGGGGCAUGGCAUCCCAAAACUUUAGAAUUUCUUACAUUUUAGCCCUAAAAUUUUCAGCUUUUUAGUUAUACCCUUUAAUUUAACAUGUUUUGCUUCCAAAAGUGUCCCACCGAUCUAAUUGUCCACAGCAUAUCAACUGGUUCAUUCUGUCUGAGUAAUUAAUCCAGGAACCACUUUCAUGAUCAAAUGCAACAUGGAGGCAGGCAAAUGAAAAGAAUCGAGUCACGAGAGCAUAAAAUGUGAUGCGUUAGAGCUAGAUUAUAUAUCUCCACCGUAAUACAGGUAUACAACGAGAAAUUAUUGGAUGAACUAAAUUCACACAGAUCAAACCAGUUGCAGAAGUUCACUGCACAACCGCUAAUAAUCAAGGAUUCAUAACAUUAAUUCACUAUUUUGAUUUACAUAAUGUUUACGAGUUUUAUGAAUAAAAAGAUUCAUCAUAAACAUUUGUUCAACGAAGAUUCCACCCUUUAGACAUCCCUCGUCACUAUACAAAAAUUUCCUAUAUAUGUAGCCCACUUAAUUUGUUCAAUUGCUGUCCAUUCAAAAAGAUAAUUUAGAAGAAAAUUAUAAAAAAAACAAAAACAAAAAAAACCAUGCGAAGAAAUAUUAUGACAAUCAAUAAUGUUUUAUAAAAAAAUUAUAAAAAUAAAUUCUCAAUCAACUCAAUAUAAAAAUAAAAAAAUUUGGCAAAUAUAAUUUUAAAAAAUAAAAUAGAAAAAUUAUGUGAAAAAACACCGUAGCAAUCCACAGUAUUUUAAAGGAAAAAAAUUACAAAGCAAAAUUUUUAACUAACUCAAUAUUUAAAAAGUAAAAUCAACAAAGAUAAUUCAAAAAAAAAUGAAAAAAAAAGAAAAAAAAGGAAAGUUGGAAAGAGAAAAAAGGAAAGUAAUUUUGGAAAAAAAGGAAACAUUAAACAAAAAAAAAAGGAAAAAGGGAAAGUUGGGAAAAAAAUGCAAAAGAAAAAAAACAGAAAAAGUUAAAAAGAGAGAGAGAGCAAUGCAUUGUGGAUUACUAUUGUAAUCCACAGUUGGGUGUGAGGGAACAGUGAUUUCCUCACACCCUUUAGUUUUAUGUAUAGUAAUUACAAUUAUUAAUCAGCUUAAUAUUUAAAAAAUAAAAUUAGUAAAGACAAUUUUAGGGAAAAACAUAACAAAACAGAAAAAAAACCUUGUGGGUAAAAACACUGUAGCAAUCCACAGUAAUUUGCGAGGAAACUUACAGUGCUUUCUCCACAUAUUGUAAAUGUAAUUUUUAACCAACUCAAUAUUAAAAAAUAAAAUAAAAUAAAAGAUAAUUUCAAAGAAAAUCAUAAAAAAAACAAAAAAAAACCAUUCGAAUAAAUACUGUAGUAAUCAACAAUGUUUUAAAGAAAAAAAAUUACAAAACUUAAUUCUUAAUCAGCUCAAUAUAAAAAAAAUCAACAAAUAUAAUUUUGAAAAAUACAAAAAUAAAAUAUAAAAAUUAUGUGGGAAAAUACUAUAGCAAUCCACAGUAUUUUAAAGGAAAAAAAAUUAUAAAUGAAAAUUUUUAACUAGCUCAAUAUUUAAAAAGUAAAAUCAACAAAGAUAAUCUUGAAAAAAAAAAUGAAAACAAAGGAAAAGUUUGAAAAAAAAAAUGAAAACGUGCAAAAAAAAAUGAAAAAGUGAAAAAAAAAAUAUACUGUAGAUUACUAUUGUAAUUUUCAGUGCAUUGGGUGUGGGGGAACAGUGAUUUCCCCACACCCUUUAGUUUUAUGUAUAUAAAAAAAUAGACAAAUAUAAUUUUAAAAAAUAAAAAAAAUAAAAUAGAAAAAUUAUGUAGAAAAAUACCGUAGCAAUUCAUAGUAUUUAAAAAAAAAUACAAAAUAAAAUUUUUAAUCAGCUCAAUAUUUGAAAAGUAAAAUCAAUAAAAGUAAUUUUGGAAAAAAAAAUUAAAUGAAAAAAAAGAAAAAAGAGGAAAGUUGGAAAAAAAAAGGGAAAGUUUGAAAAAAAAAGAAGAAAAGUUGCUAAAAAAAAAGUAAAAAUAAAAAAGAAAGAAAUGCAUCAUGGAUUAUUUUGUAAUCUACAGUAUAUUAAAUGUGCGGAAACAAUGAUUUCCCGUACCUUUUAAUUAUAUGUAUAAUAAUACAUCAGUCUUUUUUAUUAUUAUUGAUGAAUUCGAUUCAUCAUUUUACAAAUCAUUUGUGUACUAUUUUUCUUAAUUAUUAUUUUAGUCAGAGAGAAUGAAACAUCCCAUCAAUUCACUUGCGCGAGCAAGAUAGAAAAGACACUAUUCUAAAGUAUUGUAAGCGUACAUAAAGAUGGGUCCCUCAAAUUCACCUUCAAAGGAAUAUAUUCAUUUUAGAGAGUAUAUUCAUCUUAAAGAUGCUUGAAAUUCAAGAUAGCAUGCCCUUAAAAUCAAGCCAACCAUUUUCCCACUGGAUUAGAGGCUUCCAAUAUAAUGAACUAAAAGUUAGACAUUAGCUUUGCUUGGUUAUAUUAUAAAGGUACAAAUAGUGAGCAAGCUAAUGUGUUAGUCCAAAAGGCUAGGAAUCUUCAAAUCUAAAUGAAAUGUCAUCUUCCACAUAUGGAUAGAGAGAAGCCAAAAUGCAAAGCAAUUUCAUGGUAAUUAAUUAUUGCCAAGUAUGGUGGGGGGCUGGCCAUUAUGGCCAUACCACCUGCACUUCAAUGUUGACCCAAACCAGCUUGUUUUCCACUUGGUUUACAUGCAUUGGCUUGAUUUGGACGGUUAAUUUGGGACCUCAAUCGACAACUGGUAUUCAAUUAGAUGGACCAAAUCGUAUAGAUGUGAUAGUUCUAUAUAUGUGUAACAUAUAAAUCGUAUGGCUUCCAGAAAGAAAGAAGGAAAAAAAAAAAAACAUUUGAGAUUUUAACUCUUCAUGGAUAUGAACUUGAAGAAACUCUUCAUAGAAACACAAGUCUUUGAGCGUGAGAUUGUUUUUUUGGUGGGAGAGGAAUCUUCCUUUGAUUGUCAAAGACGAAAGCAUUUAUUCCCAUUUGUUAGAUUUCAGUUAAUAGCUUCCAUUUCCCUUUGUUAGAUCUCUCAAGAGUCAAGACUUGCUUUCCAUACGAGGGAACGCCUUUGUUUUAAAAUACUGAUCGAGUGAUUGACUUUGCCACGAGUUGGAUCGACGUUUCAAAUUUUUGGAGUCUAAUUGCUUGUUACUAAAACCCAGUUAACAACAACAAAUCCUGUAUAUUUGGUUUUGAAUAUGUUUGAACAUGGACUGCCUUUUGUUGAUGAUCAUCUUAAUUAUUUACGAGUGAUGAAAUCUUCAAUUCAUAUCGAGACCUGACAAAAAUAAUCUUAUCAGAUGAGAGUGAGUGUGAAAGUUUUUCUCAAAUUUUUAUUUUUUUUUAGUUUUGCUUAUUACAUUGAUUUUUCUUCCAACACUUCCAAUUAUUAAUCUCAGACAUGUAAAUUUUUUACAUAUUGCAGAGAACGAAUCAUUUUAAUAAGACAGCAAAGUUUGAGUCUUUGAAUCAUUGGCAUUGGAAGGGAUGGUAGGAGGGGAAGUUGCUGGUAUCUGUUUCUCUGAUUCUACUCAUUGGGUUGCCCUGCUGGACAACAUUUCUGCUGGUGUCUUUAGAAGACAAACUUAUGCCAAGAAAGAGAGAGAGAGUUUCUCAAGUUGGAAAUGCAGAGUGUUUAACUCAGAGUCCUGUCUUGAACUCUGAGGCUGAGAAACAUCAGUUGGUUUCUUCAAUCUGGUACUACAUAUUCGACUUCCUAUCACUGAAGAAUUUUGGAUGGUUAGAUAUCGGGAGGAAGGUUUAUACUCGGGAGGAUGUAUUACAUAUUCGACUUCCUAUCACUGAAAAGUUCUCUGCGAUGAUUCUGAUAAAGCAGGGUCACGAUGGGGAUGCGUUUGAAGAGGGAUGAUAAUAAGAAAUACAAUUUCUUCUGUGUCCUAGCUGCAUAAUCCUCGUCCAUUCCAUUGAAGAAACAAGCAAUAACAAGGAAUAAGUUCUGAUAAUCAUCAUGAGGAGAGUUGUAACUUUUUGCAAGAACCUUUUGAACUUAACAAUUUGGAAUCACUUCCGUUUCAUGUAAUGCGCUUUCCCAUACUUUUCUACUUUCACUAAAUAAUGAAGAACCAAUAGCACAAAGGGCUAAUGGAAGUCCAUUACAAUGAUGUACUAUUCUCCAAGAUUCCUCCAUAAAAUCUUCAACUGGGUAAGCUUGUCCACAGGCAUGCCAACUCAAAAGAUUAAGUGAUUUUUUGUUAUCUAGAGGUUCAUCUUUGCACUUGACACACUCACCAUCAGCUACAACCAAAGCCUUAUUUCUAGUUCUUACAAUGAUUUACUUCCUUGGCGAAGCCAAUUUCGCGUGCCAACAAUUGCAUUGAAGUGGUCCCAUUUGUCCACAUCAUCAAGAACAAUAAGAUUUCUUCUGCAACAUAACGCAUCCUUAAUAUAAUCCCUUCAUCAACAUCAUGUAUGUCAUCAACAUUGUUUAAGAUAUCUGAAAGAAGUUGCCUCUGUAGUCAAACUACACCAUUGGAUUCUUUUGACUAUUCUCUAACAUUUGAUGGAAAGAUCCUACCUUCAAACUUAUGAAACUGCUGGUUAUAAACACUCUUUGCUAUGGUUGUCUUCCCUACUCCACCAAUCCCAUAGAGUAUAUCAAAGGCAGAACUGUGGGAGCCAUAUUCUUCCAACCAUAAGUUGAUAAGUUUUACUAGAGGAUCUCUUCCGAUGAAAUGAAGGGGGAUAUGAAAUAUUUUACGAUCCAAUUUCUUUGAGACCUUGUCGACAAUAGAUUAGACAAGUUGUGCCUCAUGCCUGCAUCAAAAAGAAAAAUACAAUAUAUGAUAAUUAGUAAGUCUCUCUAUAAAGUUUCAAAAUCUUAGUAUCAUGUAGAAAUCGUUGCAUUUUUCAAGUAAUUAAGAACGAAAAUAUCAGAAAAUGAGAAAAAAAAGUUUCUUUUAUUUUUGUUUUCUUUAAUGUUCACUAAGUUGGGAGUGGUACGGUUUUUUCUAAAUUGAAGAUGUCGCACGUGUGCGGCGUCACGAUGAAAACAUCCACCCUCAAGAUUUUAUCUAAUGUUGCAAAAUAUAGGGAGACAAGGAAUUCUUAUCUUUUAUUAGUGGAAAAAUGAAGUGGGAGUCGCCACCUAAUACUUUGGUCACAAGAAAUUAUCGUAUUUUCUAAUUGUUGGUCCGUCUAUGGUUUAAGAAAAGUCCUCUUCGGUAAAAAGAUCCUUAUCUUAUCGGGUAAAAUCUAACCGCUUUAACGUCAAAAAAAGAAUUUAAUAUCCUGAAUACGUCUUACGUAUAAGAUCAUUACCCUAGAUAUUAAAAGAAAACAAAAUAUUUUUUUGAAGUUUUUUUGAAAUAUUGGCCUAGUUCUCGCGAUUUUAAUAAACUGGUUAUUAAAGCCAAAAUACAUGCUAAUACAUAUUUUUGAAGUUUUCUUUGUUAUAUGAAAGUACAAUAUGAUUUUUUUUUAGAGACUUGGUCGUAUGCAUGAAAACAAAAUAUUUUUUAUGUUUUGCCGAAGACCGGGUAUUUUAAUAUCGAAUUUGUAUCUUUACAGUAUAAAAAUACAAACCGAUAUUAAUUAAAAUGCAAUAAUUUUUUUUACAGAAAAUCACAAAUUUUUUGAAAAAAAAAAAUUUAUUAUUUUUUUAAGACUGGAACUAGCCCGAGUUAAGCCAAUGACCCGGCUGCUUGCUCAACGGCUGUUCAAGUGAAUUAUAAUUCACUUGCUCAGUGAACUUGAACAGUAAAGAGCAACAAUUACUGUUCAAGUGAAUAUUCACUUGAACAGUAAAAGAUAACAAUGAAAAAAAGAAAAUGCAUGCAGUGACAGAAACAAUGCAAUGUGAAGAGAAAUGUGUGAGGCUUACCUAGUAUCUGAAAUAGAUGAAGACGAUUGCAAUGAAACUGCUGCGCAGGAUCAGAGGUGACUGAUUUUGGGGACGAUGAAGACGAUCAACGCUGGGUCUUUUUUCUUCUGGUUUUUCUCUGCCUUUUUUGAAAUGAUGAAGCCCCUGUGUUCUUCUCCUCUCCGUCUUUUCCCUUCCCUUUUCUUUCUGUUUUUCUCCCCUGUAUUCCCCUCUCAGCGGUUCUUGGCGUGGCUGCUGGGAUGAAGAAGAUGAUGAGCUGACGAUGGCGUUGGCAGUGCUGGUGCAGUUGUGAUGGAGAAUGGCAGUGGCUAGUUUCUGGAAGAAUUGAAGAUGAUGAAAAUUCUGGUCUUGCGUUCUUUUUAUUAUUCUGGACUUUCUCUCUGGGUUUCUUCCUUUGCUUCUGUUUCUUUGGUUUUAUUCCCUUGCCUCUGGGACAGCAACGAUGGAGGCUGGUUGCUACUGGUUUUUUUUCUUGCUUCUGUUCGUCUGCUCCUCUGUUAUCGUCUCCCUAUGCUUCCCAGUUCUCCUUCCUGUCUCCCUCUUUUCUUUUUAUUCUCCCUGUUCUCUUUCUCUCCCUCUCUGUCUCGUCUUUCUCCUUUCCGUUAUCCCCCUCUCUCUGUUUUUCUCCUGUCCGUUGUCCUCUCUGGUCUUUUUUUUUUUCUGUCUUUCCUCCUCCUUUUCAUCGUCUUUCUCUGGCUUUUAUUGUUGGUGGGAGAAACCACUGGUGGUGGCUUUGAAACACUCAGAGGGGAUAAAACACAAAGUUUUAUUACAAAAUCCGAAGCUUAUAAUUAACACAAAAACUCACAAUACACACCCUCUCUUUCUCUCUUUCUCUUUCUAGUGUUUCUCUCAAUUAUCUCCACACAAUUUAACAGAAGUUGGGCACUCUAUUUAUACACGAAAUCAGAAUACAAAAAUUCAAACUUUCCAAGUGUGAAGGUGGGUGGCUGGUGGCUGGCGGUUGCGGCUGGUCGGUGGGUGGUUGCCUUCCUUGACCUUCUGGAUGUUGAGUUUAAUAUUCAACAAAUCUCCCCUUUAAACUCAAUCGAGGGAUAUCAUGCCAAGCAUGAACUUUAAUCAAAUAAAUUCUUCUCCUUUUAAUGGCUUGGUGAAGAUGUCCGCAACUUGAUCAUUUGUGUUGCAAGAUAUCAGUUGGACUUCUUCAUUCUUCAUGUGUUCCCGGAUAAAGUGAUGACGUGUAUCAAUAUGUUUGCUCCUUUCAUGAUACACUGGAUUCUUUGCCAAUGCGAUUGCUGAUCGAUUGUCAAUAUAAAUCUCCGUAGGAUUUUCUUGAGGAAAUCCCAAAAACUUCAGCAUAUUCCUUAACCAUAUUGAGUGACAUACGGCUGAGUUGGCAGCAACAUACUCAGCUUCACAGCUUGAUAAUGUUACAAUCGAUUGCUUCUUGGAUGACCAUGUGAAAGAUGUGUCUCCCAUGAAAAAGACAAACCCUGUUGUGCUUUUCCUUUCAUCCAAAUCUCUACCCCAAUCACUAUCCGAGUAGCCUACAAGAUUAAAGUCUUUACUUGAGGUAUAAAACAUACCUUCAUUCAUUGUGCCUUUGAUGUAGCGAAGAAUUCUCUUGGCUGCAUUCAAAUGAGACUGGUCUGGUGUCUCCAUGUAUCUGCUGAUGAGUCCGACUCCGUAGAGUAUAUCCGGUCUGGUACAUGUCAAGUACCUUAAGCUUCCUACUAAGCUUUUGAAGUAAGUUGGAUCAACAUUUCCAACCUUACUCUUCCUCAAUUCCACUCCAUUCUCAACUGGAGUUGAUACCGGAUUGCAGCUUUCCAUCUUGAACCUUUCAAGAAUAUCUUUGGCGUAACCGCUUUGGGAUACAAAAAUCCCUUCUUCCUUCUGCGUUACUUCUAAGCCAAGAAAAUGUGACAUUAGACCAAUGUCAGUCAUUUCAAACUCCUGUACCAUGCUUCGUUUGAAGUCUUCAAACAUGGUAGGGUUGUUGCCGGUGAAUAUCAAAUCAUCAACAUACAGGCACGCAAAUAAGAUGCUGCCAUCUGCUCCUUUCUUCACAUAUAUUGCGUGUUCAUAUGGACAUUUUUCAAAUCCAUUAUCUUGAAAAUACCUGUCAAUUCUGGUAUUCCAAGCACGCGGAGCUUGCUUCAAACCAUAGAGAGCCUUCUUCAACUUGUAUACUUUGCCUUCAUUUUCAGCAUCAAUGUAUCCAAGUGGUUGUUCAACAUAGAUCUCUUCUUCUAGGAAGCCAUUCAGAAAUGCUGACUUCACAUCGAGUUGAUAGAUCUUCCAUCUAUGUUGUGCAGCUAGUGAGAUCAUCAGUCUGAUUGUCUCUAGCCGGGCUACUGGAGCAAAUACUUCUCCAUAGUCAAUGCCUUCUCUCUGUUUGUAGCCUUUAGCCACUAAUCUGGCUUUGUAUCUUUGCACUUCUCCUUUGGCGUUCUUCUUCGUCUUGUAGACCCAUUUGACACCUAUUGCUUUCUUGUUUUCUGGUAGAUAAGUCAGCUUCCAGGUAUCAUUCUUCUCAAUGGCAUGUAUUUCUUCAUCCAUUGCUUCUAUCCAUUUCUCUUCUGUGAUAGCUUCAUCGAAGCUUAGUGGGUCACUAUCUGCAAAGAAACAAAACAGAGUUGUAUCUUCCAUGACCUGAGUGGUAUCGUACAACUCUUCAAGAUUCCUCAUCCUUCUUGGUCCUUCUGAUGAGGAUGUGUGGUGGUGUUGAUGAUGAUGCUCCUGGUGUGUUCCUCCUGUUGAAUACAGGGAAACUGUGCCGGACUUUGUGGUUCAGCUGCUGGCACAAUCGGUUCUUCGACAAGUACUGUUGGUACUUCUUCACCUUCAAGGAUCAAAUCAGUGUUGAUCCAUUGACUGCUUCUUGAUCACCAUUCCAUGCCCAAGAUUUAUCUUCUUCAAAGAUAACAUCUCUACUCGUAAUCACCUUCUUCGUGAUGGGAUUAUACAGCCUGUAUCCCAUCCUUCUUUCACCAUAUCCGACAAAGAUGCAUUUCUCGCUCUUAUCAUCGAGCUUUCUCCUUCUUGCAUCUGGGAUCUUUGCAUAUGCCACACAACCAAAGACUCGUAGAUGAGUAACACUUGGUUUGUGACCACUCCAUGCUUCUUCUGGAUGACUCCUUGCAAACUUCUGGUUGGGCAGCGAUUCAGUAGAUACACUGCACAUGAUACAGCUUCAGCCCAGUAUUGCUUGGGCAACUUCUUUGCUUUGAGCAAACUUCUGGCCAUGUCAAGAAUCGUGCGAUUCUUCCUUUCUGCUACACCAUUCAGCUGUGGUGUAUAAGCUGGUGUCGUCUGAUGUCUGAUGCCUUGUUGUGUACAAUAGGCUUCAAAGUCAUUUGCUGUAUAUUCUCCACCUUGAUCAGAUCACGGUUCUGAUCGUAACCAGUUUGCUUCUCCACAAUUGCUUUAAAAUCUUUAAAACAAUUGAAUACUUCUGACUUCCUCUUCAGAAAGUAUAUCCACGUCUUUCUACUAAAAUCAUCAGUAAAAGUGAGGAAGUACCUAUUUUGUCCAGUCGACAUAGGCGUAAUUGGGCCACACACAUCUGUGUGUACUAACUCCAGUGGCCUCUUUGCUCUCCAGUUGACUUCUUUGGCAAAACUGGAUCUGUGAUGUUUGCUGAGGACACAACUCUCACAGACUUCAUCUGGAUGAUCAAUGUGAGGCAAACCUUUGACCAUCUUCUUGCUUGCUAGCAUCUUCAGACUUGUGAAAUUCAGAUGUCCAAGCCUCAGGUGCCAAAGCCAUUCUUCACUGUUGGUGAUGGCACUCAAACACCUUUGCAUCAUACUGGAUGUUCAAAGGAAACAUCUUGUUCUUGGACAUUUUCACAUAGGCCAUUAAUCUCCAAUUGUUGUCUCUAAUUGUCAGAUGACAAUUCUUCGAGUAAAAAGUAUAUCCUCUCUCCAAAAGUUGACCUAAGCUGAUCAGGUUCUGCUUUAUGGCUGGGACAUAAUACACAUCGGCGAUGUAGCUGGAAUCGUCAUUCUUCAACUUGACUGGGAUGUUGCCUUUACCUUUGAAUGGAACCUUUGUGGUAUCUCCAAAAGUAACUAGACCUUGCUUGGUCUCAUCUAGAUCACCAAAUAACUCUCGGUAGCCGCACAUGUGAUUGCUGGCUCCAGUAUCUAGAUACCAUAUAUCUCCUUGUUUCUCAUCAAGUCCUUGUUGGACAAGAAAUGCAGCUUCUUCUCUGUCAUCCUUCUCUACAUAGUUGGCUUGCUCACGUAUCUCCAACGGAGCUUUCCUGCAUUCAGUGCUAUAGUGCCCAAAUUGAUUGCAGCUAUAACAUUUGAUAUUCCUCUUGUCACGGUUAUUGUAACCGCCUCCUCUUCCUCUAGGAGUGAAUGCUUGUUGGCCUCGGCCUCCUCUGGUGGUGUUUCUACCACCUCUUCCUCUGAAGCUUGUAUUCCAAGAUCUUCCUCUUGUUGAACCUCUUCCUUGGAAUCUCUAGAAUCCUCCUCUGGAUUGUUGACUUCCUGCUUGAGUGGUGUAGCCACUUGAUGAAGUCUCCCCUUGCUCAUAUCUGUCCUUGAAGACAGCUUUGCUUGUAAGGCAUGCUCAAUGGCCUUAUCUUCAUUUCGCUUUACAAUCUUCUGCUCAUGAGCUUGCAAAGAACUCAUAAGCUCAUCACUGUCAACUUGUCCACUUCCUUGGACUCUUCAAUUGCGACAACAAAUUCAAAUUUUGGAUCUAUGGAUCUCAAAAUUUUCUCAAUAAUUCGAGAAUCGAUGAUGGCUUCUCCAUUUCUCCUCAUCUGGUUGACUAUCACCAUAAUCCUUGUGUGAUAAUCAGAAAUAGACUCGAGGACUUCAUUCAAUAAUUCGAAUUCUCCUCUCAAAGAUUGAAGACGAAUCUUCUUGAUUCUGUCAGCACCUUUGUAUUUCUGUUGGAGAGCCUCCCAUAUAUCAUGUGUUUCAGCGGAAGCUAUUAUCUCGAAUGUAUCUUCAUCAAGACCUUGAUAGAUGAUGGUCUUUGCUUUGUUGUCCUUCUUUCUGUUGACUUUAAGGGCUUGCUUCUGUGCCUCUUGUAAAGCAUCUUCUCUUUCUUUGGACUCUGGUUCAUCAUAACCAGUUUGUACAAUAUCCAAACACUCUUGUGACCCAAGGAAUGCCUUCAAUCUGAUGCACCAACUAUCAUAGUUGUCUUUGGUCAGCUUCGGGAUGAGUGUAUGUGUACCUUUUGUAGUCAUUUUUCUCUUGUAAUGACUAUAUCACAUUUCUGGGAGCCUAAUUUGGCCAAACGGACACUGUAGAUCGAUCCAGAAUGGUCCAAAUAGUAGGGAACCGGUCUGACUUUGUAUAAAUCAGGUCAGAAAAUGGGUGAAUCGGUCAAAAAACCAAUUCUGUACGGCGGGCGGUUCGCUGGGUUGAACCGGGAAUAUUCGGGGAAUAUUCUGGGGAAUAUUCUCUCGGCGCGCUGGCGGCUCGGCUCGGCGCGGUGUACGGCGCAACUUGUGGCUCGGCUGGACUAGGACUCGGCUUACACGGCUCAGCUCGGCUUGAAUAUGGCGCGCGUGGACGUCAGUCGCCGUCUACCUCUGGGCGCGUGGGCUGCGCGUGGGAGAAGAAUGCAGAAUCUUCAGGCGGCGCGUGUGAGCUACCUCCGGCUCCGAUCAGGAUGAUUCUUGCGACAGUGAGUUCGUCUUGAUGAGCUCUACACUGUGGAAUGAUCAAAACUUGUUUUGGACAACUUUGAAAAUUCAGAUAUACCCCAAAACUCUUCUGUUUUCUAACGAACGGGGCUCUGAUACCAAUUGUUGGUGGGAGUAACCACUGGUGGUGGCUUUGAAACAUUUAGAGGGGAUAAAACACAAGGUUUUAUUACAAAAUCCGAAGCUUACAAUUAACACAAAAACUUAACACAAUACACGCCCUCUCUUUUUCUUUCUCUUUCUAGUGUUCCUCUCAAUUCUCUCCACACAAUUUAACAGAAGCUGGGCACUCUAUUUAUACACGAAAUCAGAAUACAAAAAUUCAAACUUUCCAAGUGUGAAGGCAGCUGGCGGCCGGUGGUGUGAAGGCGGCUGGCGGCUGCGGCUGGUCUGUGGGUGGUUGCCUUCCUUGACCUUCUAGAUGUUGAGUUUAAUAGUCAACAUUUAUAAGCCAAAGAAUGCCAUGAAACAUUCCCUAUAAUUGAAGCAAUCUGCUGUUUUUGUCGCUGAAAUGGCUCCACUGUCUACUGAAACGGCUAUGAUGAAAGGUGAUGAAAUAGUGCUUUGAAACGGCGUCGUCUUCCUAUCAAAAUGUAUAUUUCUGAUUUGGUCCUUGGCUGUUUUGACAAUUUUCUAAUCAAGCCCCCAGAUGAAUUGUAAUUGGAUCCCUUGAUUUUAGUUCCUUUUCCAGUUUAGUCCUUGGUUUCAAAUUGUUUCAAUUAAGUCCCUAAUUGGCCAUCAAACUUCAAUAAUUGGACCCCAUAACUUUAAUUACUUCCAAUAAAAGCCUAAAUUGACUUUAAAAAAAUCAAUUAUCUUGCAAUUAAACCCUCUAUAAAUUUAAUUAAACCUUGGAUAAAAUUUAAUUGAGUCCAUAAACAUCUUAUUUUGAACUUUUCUUUCUCAAUUUGAAUAUUUUUUAGUCAAUAGGGCUCUCAUCAGUAGAAAAUAUAACAUAAAAUUUCAAUUCUUGUAUUUCUGAAUCUCCUCAACCAAUUCCUAGCCAUUUUAUGAGUGUUUCAACAUCCUUUUCUUACUCCUGUUAUUAUUAAUUUUUUAUUCCUUCUUAAUAUAAUUUUUUUUUGUAUUUUUUCAGUUUUUGUAUGAGAACCCAAAAAUGAAUAACAAUAAAAGAGGUACUAUCAGUCAUUGUCUAAAUGCUUUCCUACAAACCUGAAAAAAUUAAGAGUUCACUACCAGCAUUCUAGUCUUAUGCUAUUUGUAAUUUCAUUCAGAAAUACAACUUACCUAACUCUGCAAUUUUCUUCAAAGCAAUCCUCCACCAAUUCACUCGCUCCAUCUCCUACUUGAAACGCUUUUAAUGAUCCAAUAAUGCUAUAGCGACUUCAGAUGGAUCCACAUCAUAGAAUACUAGCAAAACUAUGCAGUCAUUCCUCUUACACUCCAUGAUCAUUACAAGUUCAUCGAAGCACCACCUCGACCAAGCAUAAUUCAACAAUUAUUUUUCUCAUUGUUAUUUAUUUUGUUAUUUAUUAUUUUUUAAUUAAUUAAUUUUUCAAUUUUAUUUCUCAUCAUUUUAUUGAUGGGGGAUUUGAUUUUGUUAUUUUUGUAGGUUUAUCUUCUAUGAGGUUGGUUACAGUCUCAUAAUUUAGACUACAAGUUUUGAAAAUUAGGUUGAGUUCAUUUUAUUUUUUUAGGUCAUUUUUAAAAAAUUGAUAUUUUUUUUAAAUCAUCUUUCAACAUUGGGUUGGUUAGGGGUUCAAUUUCAUGAAUUGUUUUUUAUAUUAUUUCAAUCUCAUGUCUUGAGUCGUAAUUUAGUGGGUUAACACAUGUCCUUUUGUUUUUCUAUUGUUUUUUUAGAUUGGAUUGUUUUUCUCGGUUUUGCCCUUCAACAUUACAUCAUUUGAGAUUUGAGCUUUGUUGUUUUAUUCAUUUUUUCCUACAAUGUUAUCCUUGUCUCAGGAUUAGGUUAUGUAUUUGGCUAACUGACUUGGGUGGAUUAGUCAAGUCAAUUUUUUUUGUUUUUUUUUUAAUUUGAUUUGAUUUUUAAUUAUGUCCUUUAACAUUUGAUUGCUUAGAUUUGAGAUUCAUAUUUUUUUUUAUAAGGUUGUCACACUCUCAUUUGAUUUUUUUGCUUCAUUUUCAAAUAUUAUAAGGAUAUAUUUCUGUAAUAUUGACAAGCGUUUUUUUUUUAGUUGAUCAUUGUGAAUUUUUUUUAGUUCGAUUUGUUUAUUGUUGUUGUCUAUUUUUUUAAUUAUAUUAUUAAAUUAAUUAUAUUUAUUCAACUAAGGCAACUUAACAACCUACGUCUUUAAUUAUUUUUAUUUAAAAAAUAACACUAUCAUCACCUCAACAUCUUUUUUAAAUUGAAAAAAACUUUGCCCUACUAGUAAUACAGUUCAGGUAAAUAAUCUAGUUACAGCUAAUCACGUGGCCACAAAGCCCCAUUGGGAUUCAUAUUCCAUAAGAUUGCUCCAAUAUUAAAGAACUCUAAAAGGUAUGGGGAAAGCACUGCAGCUUCCCCACGCCUUUUAAUUAUACUUAUAUAUAAUAAUAAUAAUUAUUAUAAUAUAUAUUAGUUUUCUUUUUCAUUAUUUUUCUGUAUUUUUUUUUGUUUUUAUGCCUUUAUGGGUUUUUUUGAGCUUAUUUCUUAGUUUUUUUUUCCUUUAAAUUUUGUUUUUUAUUUAAUUUAGUUUGUUAAUUCAUCCCGAGUUUGAUGAGUUAACCUGAUUUGACGAGUUAACUAGAAUUUUUUUUUCUUUUUUUCUUUUUUUCUUUUUAAUUAAUUUUUUCAUUUAGUUUAGUUUGUUAAUGUUAAAUUUCUUUCUAUUUAAUUAUCAGACUUUCAUGACACGUAUUCCAAACUUGACAGGUUAACUCGUCAAUUUUUUUUUGUAUUUAGUUAUUAAACUUUCAUUACGCGAAUCUAAGGUAUGACAGGUUAUCCUGGUUUGAAAGGUUAACCCAGUUAAUUUAGAUUUUUUUUUCUUUUUCUUCAUGUUGGUUUUUUUUCUUUGUUUUUUUCUUUUUAAUUAAUCUAUUUAAUUUUCACACUUUUAUGACACGACCUCGCAACUAGACCCACAUUCAAGGCUCUUGGGCGUAGGAAAUUCACUGUAGCAGCUUUGUUUUGUUUUUUUUUUGUUACAUUUUUUUUUCUUUUUUUUACCCAAAAUUGACUUCUUUGUCUUUGUUUUUUUCUUUUUUUUUUCUUUUUUUUCAAAAUUAUCUUUACUAAUGUUUUUAAAUAUUGAGCUGUUUGAAAAUUUAACUAUGUAGUUUUUUUCUUUAAAACAUUGUGGAUUGCUAUAAUAUUCUCAUACAUUGUUUUUUUUUCUUUUUAUGAUUUAUUUAUUUUUUUUUCAAAAUGGUCUUAGUAGAUUUUAUUUUUUUAUAUAUAUAUUAAGUUGGUUGAGAAUUUAGCUUUGUAGUUUUUUUUUUAAAUCAUAUGGAUUGCUACAGUGUUUCUCCUAUAUAGUUUUUGUUUUGCUAUAGUGUUUCCCCACAUAUUUUUUAAAAAAAUUAUAUUUAUCGAAUUUAUUUUUUCAAUAUUGAGCUGAAUGAUAAUCUAGCUUUAGCUUUCCCCACAUUUCUUUUCUUUUUUUUUUCUUUUUUUCCAAAAUUUUCAAUUUUUACAAAAAAAAAUUUUCAGAAUUAUUUUUGUUGAUUUUAUUUUUUUACUAUUGAGCUGGUUGAAAAUUUAGUUUUUUUGUUUAUUUAUUUAAAACAUUGUAGCUUUCCCCACGUGUUUUUUUUUCGCUUUUGUUUUCUUUUUUUUUACAUGUUUUUUUUCAUUUAUUUUACCCAAAAUUGACUUUUUUUAUAAAAAAAAAAGUCUUUGUCGUUUUUUUUAUAUUGAUCUGGUUGAAAACUUAGUUUUGUAGCUUUUUUCAAAAAAAAAAAACACUAUGGAUUACUACAAUAUUAGCUUCUUUUUUUUCUUUUUAAUUUUUUUUGUUUGAUUUAGUUUGUUAAUGUUAAUUUUUUUUUAUUUAGUUAUCAGAUUUUCAUGAUACGGAUCUCGGGUUUGAUGGGUUGACCUAAUUUGACGAGUUAUUUUUUUUUCAUUUAGUUUAGUUUGUUAAAAUUAAUUUUCUUUCUAUUUAAUUAUUAGACUUUCAUACUUUCAUGACACGUAUCCUGGGCUUGACGGGUUAACUUGGUUUGAUAGGUUAACCCAGUUAAUUCUGGGUAAACCUGUCAUUUUUUUUCUAUUUAGUUAUCAAACUUUCAUGACGUGAAUCCCAGGUUUUAUGGGAUAACCUGGUUUAAAGGAUUAACCUAAUUAAUUCAUUUUUUUUAUUUUUCUUCAUUAAUUUUUUCCUUCCUAUUGAUUUUUUUUCUUUGUUUUUUUUUUAAUUAGUCUAUUUAAUUAUCACAUUUUUAUGACACAACUUUAUAGCCAGACCCACAUCCAAUAUUCUUGAGUCCGGUGUUGCAGUCAGGCUCACUUAAACUUGGGUCAUGCAAGUUUAAUUUUAUUAUUAAUAUUAUAAAUAUUACUUUUAGGUCAGGCGUUGCAGCCAAAUCUAAGAUUCUUAGGUAUGACCUUGCAAAAAAAUCCAAGAUUUUUAAUUUUUUUUUUUUAAUAUUUUUAUAAAAAAAAAUGAUCCACGGCAUCGCGCGGGUCAUUUGUCUAGUUCAUUGGAUGGUGUGUAUGGUAGGCUAGACAUGUGAAGCCCAUUAAUUGAUUCUGUCCAUAUUAAAUUGAGUCACUGAGUCACAAAUCAAAUUGAUUUGACUGUUGGGCUCUAAGGACACUGAGUCACAAAUCAAAUUGGCCUGCUUCAUACAAAAAAAUGAUGCAAAUUCAUAGCUGUACACUGAGUGCCAAAUUAUUUUAGGUUUUAAAAAGCUUUCAAUAUAACACCAAAUCUAAAACAAAUUCAACUCAGCCCAUCAUUAUUUUCACAUUUAAUUUCUUUUCAAAAAAACACAUAAUAAUUUCGUUAUCAAAAUCAUAACGGUCACUGCAAUAAUAAUUUCUAAAAAUAUGAGAAGCUAUUUCUGCUUUAGCUGCUACAUGUACAUCAUCACUAGAGUUUGAUGAGCUUCUAUCAUCAUCAGUUCCUUCCUCUUCGUGCAGCAUUCGUACACCAACCCUCUUUAUUUGAAAAACCAGAUCAUCUGUAAACACUGAAACACUGAAUUCAUCACCGUUAUCAAACGCCGGAUCAUUGGACCCAAAUUUCCAAUAGCUUAGCCAUAACAAUUCAGAUUUUUCAGCAGAAAUUCUAUCAGAAAAAUGGAGGGGUAAAAAACCCAGACUAGUCUACCCUUGGUAUUGUUCCUGAUUUCAAGAUAAACAUGAAGAUACGGAUUGGAUACUGGCGUAGCAGAAAACCAUGUGAAUAGAUUAAAGCCACAUAUCCGGUGUGUAGCAGGUGAGGAUAUUUUGAAUGACAUGUGCUCUUCAAACUCUUUCUGAAUUAGCCCUUCCUCCACAUAGAACUCCAACAUCUCAUUUUCAUCAUAUUCAAGGACAACAUUGAAUUUUCAUCAUAUUCAAGGACAACAUUAAAUUGAUUUAAGGUAAUUCAAAUUAACUUAUCUAAUGUUUUGCAGUGCUGGCUAAAAUGUUUUUUUGUCUAAAUUUUGAUUUUUUUAGUGUUUUUUGAUUCAUUUUAAUGUAUUAAUAUAAAAAAUAAUUUUUGGAUUAACCUUUUGGAUUAACUCUAGCUUAAUCAAAUCUUGGAUGUGAACUAAUUGAUCACAAUCACGAGCUAUGGUAAAAGGGAUCAGAUUUGCAAUUCUUUGCAGCGAAUAACAAUAGGACACGUCUAACCCAACCGAAUUGAAUGGAAGCUCCAGGAGCGUUUGAAGCAUUUUGCAUUCCGCUAAUGAAAGGUAAUUGAGUGUACCAAUGUCCUUAAUGCUUGGUGGAAGAAAACAAAUUGGAGUUCUACUAAAAUUUUGUGCCGUCAAAGAGUAUGGCAAUGUAAACGAGGUAAAUCUGGAAUUUUUCAUUUCUGAAAACCUGGAGGGAGAGAAUAGCUUCAAUUGAAGAGAUGUAAUGUAAGAUGUGCUUGCAACAAUUCUAUCACUUUGAUGCAACCUGCGUCGCUCUAAAUCCAUAUUCAAGCUCUCAAGUUUUGAGCAACCACACAAAACAAGCUCUUCAAGUGCUCAUUUCUUUUGGAAGUUCCACAAGACUUUUACAAUUCUUCAUAUUUAAGAUCACGAAUAUUUAAGAUCACGAGACAAUGUAAAUCACCAAUAGGUUCAGGACUAAAUAGAUGCAGUUUUCAAGUAUUAUCUUUUCCAGGCCUGGGGAUCCUGAGAAGUCUGGGGUUCUGAUGAGGUCAUGCGAGCCACGCAGAUCAAGAAUUUUCAAAUUUGGAAGAGUCUGCAAAAACAAUUACAUUUAGUUGUAAACAAAACUAGAUACUUACACUUGUUUCUUUCAAUACUGUAAAGGCUUCCAUGUGAUGCCAUAUUCUUUGACAUUUGGGUGAUUCUUGACGAGCAAUUUCCCUUCUCAUAUCUCUUACGAGUUGAUGCAUCCAUAACUUUUUUAUAAUUUUUUAUUUUGACAAUUUCUACUAGACAUCUAUUAAUGAGAUUGUCAAUUCUAAAUAUUGCACCUAUACCGAGUCCAUCUAGUAUCCUAACUGCAUAAUUGUAAUCCAUUAUAUUGAAGAAACAAGCAAUAUCAAGAAAUAAGUUCUUCUGAUUAUCAUCAUCAAGAGAGUCGUAACUUGUUGCAAGAACCUUUUGAACUUGAAAAUUCGGAAUCAAUAACACGUAGGGCCAAUGGAAGUCCAUUACAAUGACACUAUUCUCCAAGAGUCCUCUAAAAAAUCUUCAACUGGGCAUCCAAAGACAUGCCAACUGAAAAGCUCAAGUGAUUUUUUGUUAUCUAGAGGUUCAACUUUGCACUUGAUACACUCACCAUCAGCUACAAUCGAAGCCUUAUUUCUACUUACAAUGAUUUUACUUCCUUGGAAAAGCCAAUUUUGAAUGCCAACAAUUGCAUUGAAUUGGUACCAUUUGUCUACAUCAUCGAGAACAAUAAGAGUUCUUCUGCAACAGAAUGCACCCUUAAUCUUUAUAAUCCCUUCAUCGACAUCAUUUAUCUCAUCAGCAGUCUUGAUUAGGAUAUCAGAAAGAAGUUCCCUUUGCAGACAAACUACACCAUUGGAUUCGUUUGACUUUUCUCUAACAUUUGAUAGAAAGCUCCUGCCUUCAAAUUUAUAAAGAUCAAGGGUGCAUUAUGUUGCAGAAGAACUCUUAUUGUUGCUCCUACCUUCUCCACGAUAGAUUGGACAACCUGUGCCUCAUACCUGUAUCAGAAAGAAAAAUGUAAUGUAUAAUUCUCUCCGUAAAGUUUCAAUAUCUUAGCAUCCUGGAAAAAAGAAAUCAAACCAGGAUGUGCGUUAAUGAUGGAUUGCUACUUUUGCAGCUAUGUUAUCACCACAUAUUAAAACCAAAAAAGGAAUAAUGUAGAAAUCUUUGCUUCUUCAGGUAGUCAAGGAAAAAAAAAGAGAAAAAAGUAUCUUUUAUUUUUAUUUUCCUUGUAUGUUCUCUGAGUUGGGAGUGUUAUAGUUUCCCUAAAUUGUAGUGGUAUUAUCACUUAUCGUCUAAAUGCUUGACUACAAACCUGAAAAAAUUAAGAGUUCAGAACCAGCAUUCUAGUAUUAUGUUAUGUGUAGUUUCAUCAAGAAAUACAACUUACCCAUCUCCUAAAACCAUUCCUCCUAAAUCUGCAACUUCCUUCAAAGCAAUCCUCCACCCAUUGACUUGCUCCAUCUCCUUCUUGAAGUGCUUUUUGUUGAAUAAACUCAAUCCAGAAGCUCCCAGAUGGUCAAAGAAGGCAACCACUAGCUGCCACCCACCAGCCGCCACCCACCAGCCGCCAGCCGCCUUCACACUUGGAACAGUUAAUUUUAUAGUUUUUGAUUUCGUGUAUAAAUAGAGUGCCCAGCCUCUGUUAUAUUGUGUGGAGAGAAUUGAGAGAAACACAAGUAAGAGAAAGAGAGAGAGAGGGCGUGUAAUUGUUAAGCUUUAAUUAAUUGUAAGCUUCGGUUUUGUGUAAUAAAAUAGUGUGUUUUAUCCCCUCUGAGUGUUUCAAAGCCACCACCAGUGGUUUCUCCCACCAACAAUUGGUAUCAGAGCCCCGUUCGUCGGAAAACAGAAGAGUUUUGGGGUAUAUCCGAAUUUUCAAAGUUGUCAAAAACAAGUUUUGAUCAUUCCACAGUGUAGAGCUCAUCAAGACGAACUCACUGCCGCAAAAAUCAGCCUCAUCGGAGUCCGAGGUAGCCCACACGCGCCCCGAGGUUGAAGACGACUGAGCCACACGCACGCCAUAUUGGAGCCGCGCCGAGCCGUUAAGCCGAGUCCUAGCCGCGCCGCAAGCCAAGUCCAGCCGAGCCGUACUCCCGCCGAGCCGAGUCGUCAUCAAAGCUCAGCCGAGCCGAAAGAAUAUUCCCAGAAUAUUCCCUAGAAUAUUCCCGGUUCAACCCAGCGAAUCGCCCGCCGUACAAAAUUGGUUUUUCGACCGGUUCACCCAUUUUCUGACCCGAUUUCAACAAAGUCAGACCGGUUCCCGACUAUUUGGACCAUUCCGGAUCGAUCUACAGUGUCCGUUUGGUCAAAUUCGGCUCCUAGAAAGGUGAUAUAGUCAUUCAAAGAGCAAAAUGACUACAGAAGGUACACAUACACUCAUUCCAAAGCUGACCAAAGAUAACUAUGAUAGUUGGUGAAUCAGAUUGAAGGCAUUUCUUGGGUCACAAGAGUGUUUGGAUAUUGUACAAACUGGUUAUGUUGAACCAGAGUCCAAAGAAGCAGAAGAUGCUUUACAAGAGGCACAGAAGCAAGCCCUCAAAGUCAACAGAAAGAAGGACAACAAAACAAAGACCAUCAUCUAUCAAGGUCUUGAUGAAGAUACAUUCGAGAUCAUAGCUUCCGCUGAAACAUCACAUGACAUAUGGGAGGCUCUCCAACAGAAAUACAAAGGUGCUGACAGAAUUAAGAAGAUUCGUCUUCAAUCUUUGCGAGGAGAAUUUGAGUUAUUGCAAAUGAAGUCCUCGGAGUCUAUUUCUGAUUAUCACACAAGGAUUAUGGUGAUAAUCAAUCAGAUGAGGAGAAAUGGAGAAGCCAUCAUCGAUGCUCGAAUUAUUGAAAAAAUUUUGAGACCCCUAGAUCUAAAAUUUGAUCAUGUUGUUGUCGCCAUUAAAGAGUCCAAAGAAGUGGAUAAGUUGACAGUUGAUGAGCUUAUGAGUUCCUUGCAAGCUCAUGAGCAGAAGAUUCUAAAGAGAAAUGGAGAUAAGGCCAUCGAACAUGCCUUACAAGCAAAGUUGUCUCUCAAAGACAGAUAUGAGCAAGGGGAGACUUCAUCAAGUGGAUACACCACUCAAGCAGGAAGUCAACAAUCCAGAGGAGGAUUCCAGAGAUUCCAAGGAAGAGGUUCUUGGAAUACAAGCUUUAGAGGAAAAGGUGGCAGAAACACUACCAGAGGAGGCCGAGGACAACAAGCAUUCACUCCUAGAGGAAGAGGAGGCGGUUACAAUAACCGUGACAAGAGGAAUAUCCAAUGUUAUAGUUGCAAUCAAUUUGGGCACUAUAGCAUUGAAUGCAGAAGAAAAGCUCCGUUAGAGAUACGUGAGCAAGCCAACUAUGCAGAAAAGGAUGACAGAGAAGCAUCUGCAUUUCUUGUCCAACAAGGACUUGAUGAGAAAAAGGAGGAUAUAUGGUAUCUAGAUACUGGAGCCAGCAAUCACAUGUGCGACUACCGAGAGUUAUUUAGUAAUCUAGAUGAGACCAAGCAAGGUCUAGUUACUUUUGGAGAUACCACAAAGGUUCCAUUCAAAGGUAAAGGCAACAUCCCAGUCAAGAUGAAGAAUGGCGAUUCCAGCUACAUCGUCGAUGUCUAUUAUGUCCCAGCCAUAAAGCAGAACCUGAUCAGCUUAGGUCAACUUUUGGAGAGAGGCUAUACUUUUUACUCGGAGAAUUGUCAUCUGACAAUUAGAGACAACAAUUGGAGAUUAAUGGCCUAUGUGAAAAUGUCCAAGAAUAGGAUGUUUCCUUUGAACAUCCAGUAUGAUGCAGCAAGGUGUUUGAGUGCCAUCACCAACAGUGAAGAAUGGCUUUGGAUCAAUCUUGAUUUGAUCCUUGAAGGUGAAGAAGUACCAACAGUACUUGUAGAAGAACCGAUUGUGCCAGCAGCUGAACCACAAAGUCCGGUGUUUAUACCAGCAGCUGAACCACAAAGUCCGGUGUUUAUACCAGCAGCUGAACCACAAAGUCCGGUGCACAGAUUCCCUGUAUUCAACAGGAGGAACACACCAGGAGCAUCAUCAUCAACACCACCAUCAGCAUCCUCGUUAGAAGGACCAAGAAAGAUGCAGAAUCUUGAAGAGUUGUACGAUACCACUCAGGUAAUGGAAGAUACAACUCUGUUUUGUUUCCAUGCAGAUAGUGACCCAUUAAGCUUCAAUAAAGCUGUCACAGAAAAGAAAUGGAUAAAAGCAAUGGAUGAAGAAAUACAUGCCAUUGAGAGAAGAAAGAUACCUGGAAGCUGACUUAUCCACCAGAAAAGAAGAAAGCAAUAGUGGUCAAAUGGGUCUACAAGACGAAAGCCAAAUUAGUGGAUAAAGGCUACAAGCAGAGAGAAGGCAUUGAAGAGAGAAGUAUUCAUGCUUGGCAUGAUAUCUCUCGAUUGAGUUUAAAGGGGAGAUUUGUUGAAUAAACUCAAUCCAGAAGCUUCCAGAUGGUCAAGGAAGGCAACCACCAGCUGCCACCGACCAGCCGCCACCGACCAGCCGCCAGCCACCAGCCGCCUUCACACUUGGAACAAUUAAUUUUAUAGUUUUUGAUUUCGUGUAUAAAUAGAGUGCCCAGCCUCUGUUAUAUUGUGUGGAGAGAAUUGAGAGAAACACAAGUAAGAGAAAGAGAGAGAGGGGGCAUGUAUUGUGUUAAGUUUGAAUUAAUUGUAAGCUUCGGUUUUGUGUAAUAAAACAGUGUGUUUUAUCCCCUCUGAGUGUUUCAAAGCCACCACCAGUGGCUUCUCCCACCAACACUUUUCACGAUCCACAAAUGUUGUAGCAAAGCUCCUUGUUUGAUUUCUGACUUCAGACGGAUCAUAGAAGACCGGCAAAAUUAUGCAGUCAGUAUUGCUCUUACGUUCCAUGAUCAUUACAAGUUCAUCGAGGCACCACCGCGACAAAGCAUAUGCUUUGGAGAACACGAUUAUCGAUAUUUUUUAUUGUUGUAUUGCCUACUGGAGCUCUGACUUUAUAUUUUCUCCUCUCCCAAUUUCAUCAUCGUCUCUAAAUGUGUGAAUCCCUGCUUGAACCAGGGCUGUGUAGAGGUGAUCGGUAAAGUUCUUGCGGGUGUCUUCCCCUCUAAAACUCAAGAACACUUGAUAUUUACAAUUAGAAAACCGAGAAGAGUAGGAUUCUUGAUAUUUCCCAGCAGCCAUUUCGAGUCUAGCAAAGAUAAGACUUUACAAAGAUCUGGACAAAAAAAAAAGGAAUUGCAGGAUUCUAGAUAUUUCCCAGAAGCCAUUUCGAGACUAGCAAAGAAAAAAAGUUGCAGGAUGAAUGUCGAUAAUUCAAGAUCGAUAGCACAACAAUUAGCUGAAGUAUUUAUAUAUCAUUAUCCUACUUUUUCUUUAUAACAGCAAUCAACUCCCCCAGACCCUUUCAGAUAAAUAUCUGUACAUAUGUUAACCGCACUUGCUACCACGCAUUUAGAAGCACAGAUGGAGCAGGAAAGGAAAGUCAUUAAGGAUCCCCAUCUGGCUAUGUAAGCCUUAAUUAUUUAGAAAGCACACAUCUUGUAAUCCUUACAAAGCCCACGGGGGUGAAUUUGUUAGUUUAUAAUUUUUUGAGUGGCAUAAUAUGAUGAGAUGAUGAACAUGUAGUCACUAACAGUGGUUUAAUCUAAGCGAUUAUCAACAAAGAAAACAAGACAGCAGCUGGAUUGGAACCAAAGUAAACAAGAGAUAAGAAAGAGAGAGUACCUGCAAGUUUCCCUUCCCUUCUCUCUUCAGUUGUGGCUGCUGUUCUGUAUCAGUAAUCUAAGCGGUUCUGCUCCACAAUUUUAAGACAACCCUUCAAGUCUUUGUGGCACAAUAUUAUAAUAAAAUAUUUUAUUAUAUAGGAAUGCGAGGUAUAGUUACCAAAAGGGACAUUAGACACCCGCAUAAUCCAACUCAUCCACUCUCGCUGUGCCCCUGCUCUGGCCGUAUCUCUAUCCUCUCGCAUCCAAAACCAGCAUCAACACCACCCACCAAUAAGAAAAAGGCACGUGGAGGAUCAUGACUCUGAAUCAGCUACUGGGUCGGCUACCGAGUGGUGUUCCGUUUUGAGCCAUUGAGUAUUGCUGUGGAGUGGAGGGACAUUGAAGCUGCACAAUGUUUGGUGUCUUUGGCUAUAAAGUGUGGGCUUAAGGAAUCAGGGAUUACAAGUGCUGAUGGCAAGAGGGCUAUUGAGUGGGGGUUUUAUAAGAAUGGAGGUUCCAUGGAGUGAUAGUAAUAGGAUUCUGUUGUCAAAAGAGUGUGUGAGGUUUCCCGUUGACUUGGCUCGUCAGAAAAUUGGAAGAGAACUCGAGCGUUUUUUAGUUGUUUAAGAGAAAACAGCAAAUGGGCUCGUCAGAUAAAAAAUUACUAAUUAAAUUUUAUCAUGUGUUAUUUUUAUUUUAUUUUUUAUAUAAAAAAAUGAAAUAAAAUAGAUAAAAUAACAUGAAAAUUGGAAGGUUAACUUAUAUUUAAUAUGUCUUAUUAUAAAUGCAAAUUAAUAAAAUAAUAUCAUAUUACAUUUUUUAAUAUGAAACCCUUAUAAAUACUUAUAAAUAAAAGAUCUCAUGCUAUUUCAUGAUAAGCUUUCCAAGAAAAAAGAAAAAACUAUUUCAAAAGCUUUCCAGUUUUUUUGAUUUUACGGUUGAAAUCUAAAAAAGCAAACCUCUACUUAAUGAAACCUAAAAUAAUACAGGUUCUAGACCCUUCUUUGCAAAACUCCAAAAAGUGUAAUUGCGAGUCCUGUGUUUACCAUGGAAAGCACAAUUAUAAUUUCUAACUAUAUGAGAAGCUAUUUGUACUUUGGCUACGUGUGCUGCAUCAUCAUCAUCAUCGCUACUGUUGUGGGCAUUGAUAACUUCAUCCUUUCCUUCCUCUUCAUGCAACCAUUGUACACCAACGGUCCUUAUUUGGAUAGCUGGACCACGUGGACGCACUGAAAUACUCACGUCAUCACCAUUAUCAAAUGUAGGAUCAUUGCCCCCCUAAUUUCGUGUGCAAUAGCGAUUGGAUUUCCCGAUCACCACACGCGUACUGUUUGACAAAGGAUUGACAAAGCAAGGAUCGACCACUCGUAUUGUUUCUGAUUUCAAUAUGAACAUUACUAAAGCCACGGUAUGCUGACGUCACACAACUUAUGAACAGAUUAAAGCCACAUAUCCGGUGCGCAGGAGGUGAUGAGGAUAUUUUGAAUGAAAAGUUAUCUACAAACUCAUUCUGAAUUAGCCAUUUAUCCUCCACAUGAAACCCCCUUAACAUCUCAUCUUCAUCAAAUACAUAUACGGCAACGUUGAAUGUGCCAUCUAUAAAUGAUAUCUGUACCAUCAAAACAAUGUCUAUAAAAUGAGAAAAAGAAAAGUAUUCAAAUGUAGAUUUCCAAAACAAUAAAAUGGGUGAAGGAGGACCUGAAAUCUCGAUGGCUGUAUUUGAGCACUAACCGUUUCCAUUAUUGUGAACAUUUGAGAGUCUAACUUUUGGAUUAAUCCUUGCUUUAUCCGAUCUUGGAACUCGAUUAAGUGAUCACAACCAUCUCCUUCAGGCCUACUGUAUGGAUUUGCAAGUCUUUGCAGUGAAUAGCAAAAGGACACAUCUAACAACUCCAAAAGGAAUGGAAGCUCUGGGAGUGCCUGAAGCAUUUUGCAAUUUCUUAAAUAUAGGUGUCUGAGUAGACCAAGAUCCUUGAUGCUUUCUGGAAGAAAACGAAUUGGAGUUCCACUUAAAUCUAGACUCUCCAAGAAGCGUGGCAGUAAAAACGAGGUAAAUCUCAACAUUUUCCUCGUUGAAAACCUAGAGGGAAAGAAUAGCUUCAAUGGAAGAGAUGUAAUGUACGAUGCACUUGCAACAAUUCCAUCACUUUGAAGCAACUUGCGCCCCUGAUGAUGCUCUAACUCCAUAUUCAGGCUGUUAAGAUUUGAACAACCAUCUAAAACCAGCUCUUGAAGUGAAUUCAAUCUACUCAUUCCUUCUGGAAGCUCCAUAAGACUUGUACAAUUUCUUAGAUUUAAGAUUAACAAUCUUUGUAAAUCACCAAUAGAUUCGUGAAUUUGAACCAAACGGAUGCAGUCUUCAAGUAUUAGCUUUUCAAGGGCUGGGAGACCCGAGAAGUCUGGGGUUCUAAUGAGAUCUUGAGAGUGACGGAGAUCAAGAAUUUUCAAUUUUGGAAGAAACUGUGAAAAUACAUGAAUUUAGUUGUUAUCAAUUGAAAACGAGAGAGAUAACUAUAAAGAGACUUGAUACAUACCGGUGUUUUCCCUUCCAAGCAUCAACUAGACAACUUCUGGAUAGAUCAAGAACCACCAGCUUCUCCAAGCAUACGUGAUUUGGUAUGGAGCUCCAAGACAAUCCAUGCCAACAUAACCAUAUCAAAUUCCUGGGAAAGUGCUCAAAACUUCCAUGAAAAUUAGUGUAGUUUAGUUGGAGAAAUUUUACAUCUGUCAUCUUUCUAAAAGCAUUCGUGCUGAGGAUAGGAAACAAACUUGUUUGGCCAGUUUGUAAUUUUCCCUCAUAGGAAAAAUCAGAAAGCCAUUGUUGAAAGAAGUUAACCCUGCGGCGCUUUCGGCAAACCAUUGAAUCAGUACAGACAACUUUUGCAUAAUUAUCUUCCAUUAAUGCAUGCAUAUCAAUAGUAAGGCCACGCAAAUUUUCAGCAUCCUACAUAAUAAUAUUAAGAGUACAUGAGAAAUGAAAGUAAAUGAAAUAAUAUGUUAAGGCACCACAAACCAUUUAAGUAGAUAUAUUAAAAAAAUUGAGCUACUUACAGUAGUUCCUUUCAAAACUGUAAAAGCAUCCUCGUGACGCCAUAUUCUUUGACAUUUGGGAGAUUCUUGACGAGCAAUUUCCCUUCCCAUAGCUCUUACGAGUUGAUGCAUCCACAACCUUUUAUCAUUGUUGAUUUCAAUAAGACAUCUAUCGAUGAGAUUGUCAAUCCCAAAUCUUGCACCUUUAUCGAGCCCAUCCAGUAUCCUAACUGCAUCAUCCACAUCCAUUCCAUUGAUGAAACAUGCGAUAUCAAGGAAUAAGUUCUUCAGAUAAUCACCAUCAAGAAAGUCGUAACUUAUUCGAAGAACCUUAUGAACUUCAAAAUUAGGAAUCACUUCCAUUUGUUGUAAUGCACUUUCCCAUAUCUCUCUUCCUUUUCCAGACAAUGAAGAGCCAAUAACUCCAAGAGCUAAUGGAAGUCCAUUACAAUGAUGUACUAUUCUCCAAGAGUCUUCUACAAAACCAUCAACAGGGUCAGCUUGUCCAAAGGCAUUCCAACUGAAAAGCUCAAGUGAUUUUCAUCAUCUAGCGGUUUGACUUUUGCACCUGACCCACUCAAUAUCAUUAGCUGAAAACAGACCCUUAUUUCUGGUUGUUACAAUGAUUUUACUUCCUUUACAAAGCCAAGUUUGCAUGCCAAUGAUUUUAUUGAAUUGGUCCCUUUUGUCCACAUCAUCUAGAACAAUAAUAGUUUUUCUGCAACAUAAUGCAUCCUUAAUCUUCAGAAUUCCUUCAUCAGGAUCAUUUAUCUCAACAGUCUUGUUUAGGAUGUCGAAAAGAAGUUGUCUCUGCAGGCAAACUAUAUCCUUUAACCUAAAAUUUGAUAGAAAGCUCUUUCCUUCAAAUUCAUAAAAGUUAUGGUUAAAAACACUCUUAGCUAUGGUUGUCUUACCAACUCCACCAAUUCCAUAGAGUAAAGCAAUGGCAGCACCAUGGGACCCAUCUUGCAACCAUGAGUUGAUAUCUUGUACUAGAGGAUCUCUUCCAAUGAAAUGAGGGGUACAUGAAACAUUUUUUUGAUCCAAAUUCUUUAAGACUUCUCCACAAUAGAUUGGACAAACGGUGCCUCGUACCUACAUCAAAAAGUAAAAACAUACAACGAUAAUUAGUAGUCUCUCUAUAAGCAAUAGAAAUUAAAGCAGGUUGUGUGUCAAUGAUUUGAUAGUUUAAACCAAAUCAUGAUUGGAAAAAAAAAAAACAACGAAGAAAUCAUGAGUAUUUUAUUUUAUUUUUGUUAUAUGUUUUCUUAUCAGUACACUUAACUGAAAGAAAUUAAGAGUUCACGACCAGCAUUCUAAUCUUAUGCUAUGUAUAGUUUCAUAAAGAGAUACAACUUACCCAUCUCCUAGAACCAUUCCAGCUAAAUCAGCCACUUCCUUUAAAGCAAUCCUCCACCCAUUCACCCGCUCCAUCUCCUUGUUGAAGCUCUUUUCAUGUUCCACAAAUGCUGCAGAGAAGCUCCCUGUUUGACGUCCGACUUGGGAUGGAUCCACAUCAUAGAAUACUGGCAAACUAUGCAGUCAGCAUUCCUCUUACGUUCCAUGAUCAUUACAAGUUCAUCAGGCACCAUCUCGACGAAGCAUAGUCUUUGGAGAACACGAUUAUCGAUAUUUUUGAUUGUUGUAUUGCCUUCUGGAGCUCGAAAUCUAUAUUCUCUCCUCUCCGAAUUUCAUUAUCAUCUCUAAAUGUGUGUGAAUCCCUGCUUGAACCAGAGCCGUGUAGAGGUGAUCGGUAAAGUUCUUGCGGGUGUCUUCACCUCUAAAACUCAAGAACACUUGAUAUUUACAAUUAGGAAACCGUGAAGAGUAGGAUCUUGAUAUUUCCCAGCAGCCAUUUCGAGUCUAGCAAAGAUAAGACUUUUCAAAGAUCUGAACAAAAUAAAACAGUUUUCAAGAUUGAGAGAGAAAGGGUGGAUUGUAAAUUUAAGACAAGUCAUCCCCACAAGUCCACUCUCUCUAUGGUAUGGAACGUUUCCGCGUGAGGAAUUUUCCAUGGCUAAUUAAUGUCUAGGCGUGGAAAAUUUUGCAUGGAAAGUUUUGGUGCCGGGAAUUGAUGGCUAUUGACAUCGUGAAGUAAGAAUCAAGUUAGAAAAAUCUAAUUAAGAGGAGAAGUUUAUGGCUAUUCACAUCAUUUCGGCCAAAAAUUCUAUCGAAAAAUUAAGGGGUAAGAAACCCAGGCGAUAAGAAACCGCGAAGAGUAGGAUUCUUGAUAUUUCCCAGCAGCCAUUUCGAGUCUAGCAAAGAUAAGACUUUUCAAAGAUCUGAACAGAAAAAAAAUAAAAUAAAACGAGUUGCAGGAUUGAUGUCGAGAGUUCAAGAUCGACAGCACACCAAUAAGCUGAAGUAUUCAUAUAUUGUUAUCUUACUUUAUCUUUAAAACAGUUUUCAAGUUAUUUCCCAGCAAUCAAAUCCUCCAUGCCCUUUCUGAAAAAUAUCUGUACAUAUGAUUAAUUUAAGUGAUUCUAAAAAAUAUUUUUUUUAUUUUUUUUAUUUUUAUUUUUUAUUUUUUUUAUCCUUCAAAAAAAAAAGAGAGAGUACCUAUAAUCUUUACUUGUAAGACCAUCUCCAGGAGAAAAUGUUAUUUUGAAGAGUUUAAUUGAUAAAAUAAUAUUUUAAAUAGUAUAUAUAUAGUGUUUUUAUUUUUUUAAUAAGUUUAAUGUUAUUUUUUUAUAUGUUUAUAUUUAAUUGAUUUAUUUUUUUAUGGUCUUAUUUUGUUGGUUUUGAUGUUUUUAAAAGAUACGUAAGAAUAAUAUUUGUGAUAGAGAAAAACAAUUUUAUUUAAUAUUUUUUUUUAAAUAUGUAAAAUAAACAUAAAAAAACUAAAAUAAUAUUAAGAUGAGGAUGCUAAAAAGUCAGCCUUGGAAGUCGCUGUGAUAUAAUUACCAAAAGGGACAUUAGACACACUCACACGGUUCUUCUUACUUCACCCACCAGUAAGAAAAAGGCACAUGGAGGAUAAGGCUCUCCAUAUCUGACUUGGAAAGUUUACUAGGGCCUGUAAUUCUUGCUGCAUCAUUUGAAUCUGCUGAAAGUAAAGUAGAUUUACGAAGAAUUAAUUGAAAAACAAAGCAAUUGGUUAAAUUAAAUAAAUUACUCAACUAGCAUAAUUUUUUUAUUAGUAUUUCAAUUAAAUAAUUUGAUUUGUUUUUUAUUUAGAAUUUGAGAUUUAUGGAAUUUGAGGUGUUUAAUGGUUUGUUCUCAUAUAUAAAAAACUCGUGAAUUAGACUUUUUAUAAAUAAAAUUUAAAUUUAAAUAAAAAAAAUAUUAGUUGAACUAAAUCUUGCUAACUCCCAAUAAAAUUGAAUCAUAUCAACAUCAAAUAAUUAUUUUUAAAACAAAAAGUAAAUUAAUCUUAUUUUUAUUAAAUAAUUGACUCAAGUUAAUUAUUAUUAUUUUUAUAAAAUAAUUGACUUAAGUUAAUUGGAUAACGCAGUUAUCAAAACUUAUUUUAAAAGCGUGUUUAGAAAUGUGAUAGCGAUUAUUUUUUAAAAUAUUUUUUAUUUAAAAAUAUAUUAAAAUAAUAUAUAUUUUUUAUUUUUUAAAAAUUAUUUUUGAUAUAAGUACAUUAAAAUAAUAUAAAAAUAUAAAAAAUAUAUUAAUUUAAAAUUAAAAUAUUUAAUUUUAAAAAAAACACUUCUAACACAUAAUACCAUGCACACCCUAUAUUUGUAAUCGGACCAGUCUACAACUGGGGCCCAAGACAUGGGCAUGGUUUUAAAAUUGAGAGAGAAAGGGUGGAUUGUAAUUUUAAGACAAGUCAUCCCUACAAGUCCACUCUCUCUAUGGUAUGGAACGUUUCCGCGUGAGGAAUUUUCCAUGGCUAAUGCAUGGAAUUGAUAUAUUGACAUCGUGAAGUAAGAAUCAAGUUAGAAAAUAAACUUCAGAAGUUGAUGGCUAUUGACAUCAUUUCGACCAAAAAUUCUAUCGAAAAAUUGAGGGGUAAAAAACCCAGACUCUACCCUUCGUAUUGUUUCUGAUUUCAAGAUAAACAAGACGAUAAGGAUUGCAUACUGACAUAGCAGAAAACCAUGUGAAUAGAUCAAAGCCACAUAUCCGGUACUCUUGUUCUUCCUCCUCGUGAAACCACAUUAACAUCUCAUUUUCAUCAUAUUCAAGGACAAUGUUGAAUCUGUUGCCCUAAAGUUGUAUCUAUUCCAUCAUAGCAGAAUUUAUAAAAUGAGCAAAGGGAAAAUUUUCUAGAUAUAUAAGAGCAAAAAUGUAGAGUUGAAAUAAAGCAGAACUUAUAAAAUGAGCAACGGAGAUCAAGAAUUUUAAAUUUUGGAAGAGACUGUGAAAACACUUGAAAUCAGUUAUUGUCCAUUGAAAAUAAGAGAGAUAGCUGAAUAGAGAGACUAGAUACAGAGCAUGCCUUUCCAAGCAACAAUUAGACUGGUUCUGAAUUCGAUUAAGAGCCACAAGCUUCUCCAAGCAGAAGUGCUUUGGUUUGGAUCUUGUAAUAACCCAACCCUUUUAUUUUAUUUAUAUUAUUAUUAUUAUUUUCCUUGAAAAAUGAUAAUAAAAAAAUAAUGAAAAAAAACAAAUAAAAAAAUAAAAUAAAUGAAGAAUGAAUUAAAAUUUGGGUUAACGGUAACAUGAGUGAAAGUUUUGGAAUUUAAUUAAACUUUGGAUUAGUUUUAUUAACCAAAUUAAGAGCUUAAUUGAGGAAUUGAUAAGUUUGAGACUUAAUUGAACUUGAAAUUAGUUAAUUAAUGAAAUCAGGGGCUUAAUUAAAUAAACAUCAAAGUUUAGGACUGAUCUAGUUACAAUUGCAAGAAAUUAAAAGCCAAUGACCAAUUUGUAAAUGGCGCUGAGAUCUAGGGGUCCAAUUAAAAUGUAUCCAGGGGGCUUGCUUACAAAGCUUUCAAAACAUCAGACCAAAACGAAAAUGGCCAUCAACACUGUUCAUUUUCUUCAACGAACUAGACCAGAAACGGAUGCCCCACGAUCCGCCUCAUUAUUUAGAGGCGACCGCAUGGCAUUAUCUGGCUCUAUAAAAAGCCAGAGAAAGACCAGGCACUCCGGGGGGGGGGGGCUGGGGGAAGGAGAAACGUAAAGAAAAACAGAGAGAAAGAACGAACAUCAUUGAAAAACUAAAGGGACGCCCUUGUCUUCUUCUUCGGUGGCAGCUCCAAAAGCUCCAUUUUCAGCAGGCACUGCUGUUAUUGCUUGAGAAGACCUAAAAAUACAGAGGGAAAAACUGGAAAAGGGAACAAACCAGGGGACUAAGGAAAACCAAAAGAACCCGAGAAGGAAACAGAGGUAGAAACCCGGGGAGGACAAAGAAAAAAAAACAGCCGAACAGAGGAGAGGGAGUGAAAGUAGGAAACACAGAAUCCGCAGAGAAGAACAGAGCAUAUACGGGGAGACUAAAAGAAAAAUAGAAAAAAACAAACACAGGCAAAGGUUGCACCGAGAGAAAGCUAAAGAAAAGAAAGAACCAGAGGAAAAGUAAACGAAAGGAGGAACAGCACGCCAUCGCCUUCAUCCUGCUCCCAGGUAAGUGUCUCCAAUUUUGCAAAAUAAUUCACCAACACUGUGCCCACUAGACCUAACCUAAAAAAAAUAAAAAUAAAGAUAAAAUAAAAUAAAAACAAGUAAAAUAAAAUAAAAUAAAUAUAUGCAUGCAUACAUAAAAAAUAAAUUUGGUUUAUUUACUGAUAACAGAGUUAUGAAUAAAAAUACUUAUUUAAAUUUAUUUUAUUAUAUUUUGUUAUUAUUAUUUUCUAGCUACGUAAUAUUUACUAAUGCUAGAGUUGAAAAUAUUUAUAGUUGAAUAUUCAUUGACACUAGAGUCGGGAAUAUUACAAGCAAACCAUCAGAGCAUAAACCAAUAAUUUUUUAGGAAUUUAAAAUAAAAUCAACAAUGCAGCCUGUCAUAGACAGGAAGUUUAAGAAGUGAUAAUAUCUUUAUUUUUAUAUAAUCAGUCUUGUACCAUAGAAUCUAUGUUGAUCAGUUAGGAUUUCUAGUGAACAUAAUACUAGAUGAUGACUCUUUAAACAAGAUCAUUCCCCCUAAAAAAACAAGAUGUCAAGUGUCUAUGCUUUUCUCUUAUAAGAUUUCAUUUUUACAUGGUCGCGCGAAGUCCAAUGUGACAUAUCUUAAAGGGAAUCCAUAUCAACAUAACUACAUCAAAUUCUUGGAAAAGUGUUAAUAACUUCCAUAGAACUUGUGUAAUUUAGCUGGAGAAAUUUUACAUUUUACAUCUUUCUAAAUGCAUCCGUACGUGCUGAGGACAAGAAACAAACUUGUUUGGUUAAUUUGUACUUGUUCCCCCAAGAAAAACUCAGAAAGCCACUAUUGAGAGAGGAGUGUAGGAAGAAGACAUUGUUGAAAGAAGUUAAACCUGUAGCGGUUGCAGGCGCACCAUUGAAUCAGUACAGACAACUUCUGUACUUAUUCAUGCAUAUACAGGGUAAGGCCACACAAUUUUUCAGCUUCAUGCUUCCAAAAUAUUGAAAGUAAAUGAGAAAAGAAAGUAAAAGCAUGAACAUUUUAAGACACCUAAAUACCAUGAAGAUAGGAAAACAGAACCAGUUACUCUUACACUUGUUUCUUUCAAAACUGUAAAAGCUUCCAUGUGUGAUGCCAUAUUCUUUGACAUUUGGGUAAUUCUUGACGAGCAAUUUCCCUUCCCAUGUCUCUUACGAGUUGAUGCAUUUAUAAAUUUUUUUUCAUUUUAUUUUAACAAUUUAUGAGAUAGUCAAUCCUUAAUCUUGCAUCUAUACCGAACCCAUCAAGUGUCCUAACUGCAUAAUUCUCAUCCAUUCCAUUGAAGAAAUAAGCAAUAUCAAGGAAUAAGUUCUUCUGAUAAUCAUCAUCAGGAGAGUUCUAACUUUUUGCAAGAACCUUUUGAACUUGACAAUUUGGAAUCACUUCCAUUUCAUGUAAUGCACUUUCCCAUACUUUUCUGCUUUUACUAAAAAAUGAAGAACCAAUAGCACAAAGGGCUACUGCAAGUCCAUUACAAUGAUGUACUAUUCUCCAAGAUUCCUCCAUAAAAUCUUCAACUGGGUAAGCUUGUCCACAGGCAUGCCAACUCAAAAGAUUAAGUGAUUUUUUGUUAUCUAGAGGUUCAUCUUUGCACUUGACACACUCACCAUCAUCUACAAUCAAAGCCUUAUUUCUAGUUCUUACAAUGAUUUACUUCCUUCGCGAAGCCAAUUUCGCGUGCCAACAAUUGCAUUGAAGUGGUCCCAUUUGUCCAUCUCAUCAAGAACAAUAAGAUUUCUUCUGCAACAUAACGCAUCCUUAAUAUAAUUAAUCCCUUCAUCAACAUCAUGUAUGUCAUCAGCAUUGUUUAGGAUAUUUGAAAGAAGUUGCCUCUGUAGGCAAACUACACCAUUGGAUUCUUUUGACUAUUCUCUAACAUUUGAUGGAAAGAUCCUACCUUCAAACUUAUGAAACUGCUGGUUAUAAACACUGUUUGCUAUGGUUGUCUUCCCUACUCCACCAAUCCCAUAAAGUAUAUCAAAGGCAGAACUGUGGGAGCCAUAUUCUUCCAACCAUAAGUUGAUAUGUUUUACUAGAGGAUCUCUUCCGAUGAAAUGAAGGGAGAUAUGAAAUAUUUUAUUUGUCGUAUAAGAUCAUGGUCACAAGAAAUUGUCGUAUUUUUUAAUUGUUGGUCCGUUUAUGGUUUAAGAAAAGUCCUCUUCGAUAAAAAGAUCAUUAUUUUAUCGGGUAAAAUCUAACCACUCUAACGUCAAAAAAAGAAUUUAAUAUCCUGAAUACGUCUUACGUAUAAGAUCAUAACCCUAGAUAUUAAAAGAAAAAAUAUAUUUUUUUGAAGUUUUUUUGAAAUAUUGGCCUAGUUCUCGCGAUUUUAAUAAACUGGUUAUUAAAGUCAAAAUGCAUGCUAAUACAUAUUUUUGAAGUUUUCUUUGUUAUAUGAAAGUACAAUAUGAUUUUUUUAGAGACUUGGCCGUAUGUAUGAAAACAAAAUAUUUUUUAUGUUUUGCCGAAGACCAGGUAUUUUAAUAUCGAAUUUGUAUCUUUACAGUAUAAAAAUACAAACCGAUAUUAAUUAAAAUGCAGUACAUUUUUUUGCAGAAAAUCACAGAUUUUUUUGAAAAAAAAACAAUUUUUUUUUUUUAAAACCGGAACUAGCCCAGGUUAAGCCAGUGACCCGGCUGCUUGCUCAACGAUUCAAGUGAAUUAUAAUUCAGUUGCUCAUUGAACUUGAACAGUAAAGAGCAACAAUUACUGUUCAAGUGAAUUAUAAUUAAUUCACUUGAACAGUAAAAGAUAACAAUGAAAAAAAGAAAAUGCAUGCAGUGACAGAAACAAUGCAAUGUGAAGAGAAAUGUGUGAGGCUUACCUAGUAUCUGAAACAGAUGAAGACGAUUGCAAUGAAACUGCUGCGCAGGAUCGGAGGUGACUGAUUUUGGGGACGAUGAAGACGAUCAACGCUGGGUCUUUUUUCUUCUGGUUUUUCCCUUCCCUUUUCUUCCUGUUUUUCUCCCCUGUAUUCCCCUCUCAGCGGUUCUUGGCGUGGCUGCUGGGAUGAAGAAGAUGAUGAGCUGACAAUGGCGUUGGCAGUGCUGGUGCAGUUGUGAUGGAGAAUGGCAGUGGCUGGUUUCUGGAAGAAUUGAAGAUGAUGACAAUUUGGUUUUAUUCCCUUGCCUCUGGUUCCAAAGGUCAAGGGACAGCGACGAUGGAGGCUGGUUGCUGUUGGUUUUUUUUCUUGCUUCUGUUCUUCUGCUCCUCUGUUAUCGUCUCCCUAUGCUUCCCAGUUCUCCUUCCUGUCUCCCUCUUUUUCUUUUUAUUCUCCCUGUUCUCUCUCUCUCCCUCUCUGUCUCGUCUUUCUCCUUUCCGUUACCCCCCUCUCUCUGUUUUUCUCCUGUCCGUUGUCCUCUCUGGUCUUUUUUUUUCUGUCUUUCCUCCUCCUUUUCAUCGUCUUUCUCUGGCUUUUAGAAGCCAAAGAAUGCCCUGCGGUGCAACGUUCAGCUUGGUAACGACAUGUAGAGGAAUAGUAGCCGUGAAAUAUUCCCCAUAAUUGAAGCAAUCUGCUGUUUUUGUCGCUGAAAUGGCUCCACUGUCUACUGAAACGGCUGUGAAGAAAGGGGAUGAAAUAGUGCUCUGAAACGGCGCCGUCUUCCUAUCAAAAUGGAUAUUUCUGAUUUGGUCCUUGUCUGUUUUGACAAUUUUCUAAUCAAGCCCCCGGAUGAAUUGUAAUUGGAUCCCUUGAUUUUAAUUUAUUUUUCCGGUUUAGUCCUUGGUUUCAAAUUGUUUCAAUUAAGUUCCUAAUUGGCCAUCAAACUUCAAUAAUUAUGCAAUUAAGCAUCUGAUUUGAUCAAAUCAACUCUUUAAAAUUAUAAUUGGACCCCAUAACUUUAAUUACUUCCAAUAAAAACCUAAAUUGACUUUAAAAAAUCAAUUUUCUUACAAUUAAACCAUCUAUAAAUUCAAUUAAACCUUGGAUAAAAUUUAAUUGAGUCCAUAAACAUUUUAUUUUAGAUUUUUCUUUCUCAACUUGAAUUUUAUUUGUCAAUAGAGCUCUCAUUAGUAGAAAAUAUAACGUAAAAUUUCAAUUCUUGUAUUUCUGAACCUCCUCAACUAAUUCCUAGUCAUUUUAUAAGAGUUCCAGCGUCUUUUUCUCACUCCUGUUAUUAUUAUUUUUUAUUUUUUCCAAAUAUAUUUUUUUUGUAUUUUUUUAUUUUUUAUAUGGAAAUCUAAAAAUAGAUAACAAUAGAAGAGGUAAUAUCGUUCAUUGUCUAAAUGCUUUACUACAAACCUGAAAAAAUUAAGAGUUCACUACCAGCAUUCUAGUCUUAUGCUAUUUGUAAUUUCAUUCAGAAAUACAACUUACCCAUCUUCUAAAACCAUUCCUCCUAACUCUGCAAUUUUCUUCAAAGCAAUCCUCCACCAAUUCACUCGCUCCAUCUCCUUCUUGAAACGCUUUUCAUGAUCCAAUAAUGCUAUAGCGACUUCAGAUGGAUCCACAUCAUAGAAUACUGGCAAAACUAUGCAGUCAGCAUUCCUCUUACACUCCAUGAUCAUUACAAGUUCAUCGAAGCACCACCUCGACAAAGCAUAAUUUAACAAUUAUUUUUUUAAUUGUUGUUUGUUUUAUUUUUUAUUAUUUUUUUAUUGAUUAAUUUUUUAAUUCCAUUCCUCAUCAUUUUAUUGAUCAGGGAUUUAAUUUCCUUAUUUUUGUAGGUUUAUCUUCUAUGAAGUUGGUUACAGUCUCAUAAUUUAGACUACAAGUUUUGAAAAAUAGGUUGAGUUCAUUUUAUUUUUUUAGGUUAUUUUUAAAAACUGAUAUUUUUUUUUAAAUCAUCUUUCAACAUUGGGUUGGUUAGGGGUUGAAUUUCAUGAAUUUGUUUUUGUAUUAUUUCAAUCUCAUGUCUUGAGUCGUAAUUUAGUGGGUUAACACAUGUCCUUUUGUUUUUCCAUUGUUUUUUUUAUAUUGGAUUGUUUUUCUCAGUUUUGCCCUUCAACAUUACAUUAUCUGAGAUUUGAGCUUUGUUGUUUUAUUCUUUUUUUUUUUACAAGGUUAUCCUGGUCUCAGGAUUAGGUUAUGUAUUUGGCUAACUGACUUGAGUGGAUCAGUCAAGUCAUUUUUUUUGUUUUCUUUUUUAAUUUAAUUUUUUUUUAAUUGUGUCCUUUAACAUUUGAUUGCUUAGAAUUGAGAUUCAUAUUUUUUUUAUAAGGUUGUCACAGUCUCAUUUGAUUUUUUUGCUUCGUUAUCAAAUACUAUGAGGAUAUAUUUUUGUAAUAUUGACAAGCGUUCUUUUUUUUACUUGAUCAUUGUGAAUUUUUUUUAGUUCGAUUUGUUUAUUGUUGUUGUCUAUUUUUUUAAUUAUAUUAUUAAAUUAAUUAUAUUUAUUCAACUAAGGCAACUUAACAACCUAAGUCUUUAAUUAUUUUUAUUUAAAAAAAAACAACUUGGUUGGCCGGAAGAAUUGUCAUCUUCAAUGUCGGAUGACAGAGGCAAACUAUAUUCUUUGAUCUAAAGUUUGACAGGAAGCUCUUUCCUUCAAAUUUAUAGAAGUUCUGGUUAAAAACACUCUUAGCUAUGGCUGUCUUUCCAACUCCGCCAAUUCCAUAGAGUAAAGCAAUGUCAGCACCAUGGGAUCCAUCUUGCAACCAUGAGUUGAUAUAUUGUACCAGAGGAUCUCUUCCAAUGAAAUGAAGGGGGACAUGAAAUAUUUUUUGAUCCAAAUGCUUUGAGACAUUCUCCACAAUAGAUUGGACAAAUUGUGCCUUGUAACUACAUCAAAACGUAAAGUACAAUUUACGAUAAUUGCUAGUCUCUCUCUAAAGGAUAAAAAUAGACAUCAUUUAGCUAAGAAAUUAAAGCAGGUUGCAUGUCAAUGAUUGAUAGUUAAAUUUGUAGGUGCGUUAUCACCACCUACUAAAACCAAAUCAUGUUUGGAAAAAAAAAAAAAACAAACAAAAAAAAAAAGAAAUUAUAAGUAUUUUUUUUUCUUUUAUGUUUUCUUAUCGGUCUUCCUUUAAAUACUUAACUGAAAGAAAUUAAGAGUUCACGACCAGCACUCUAGUCUUAUGCUUUGUGUAGUUUAAUCAAGAGAUGCAACUUACCCAUCUCUUAAAUCCAUUCCAGCUAAAUCUGCAACUUCCUUCAAAGCAAUCCUCCACCCCUUCACCCGCUCUAUCUCCUCCUUGAAGCGCUUUUCUUGUUCCACAAAUGCUGCAGCGAAGCUCCCUGUUUGAUUUCUGACUUCAGAUGGAUUCACAUGGUAGAAUACCGGCAAAACUAUGGAGCCGGCAGUCCUCUUAUGUUCCAUGAUCUUUACAAGUUCAUCGAGGCACCAUCUCGACCGAGCAUAGUCUUUGGAGAACACGAUUAUCGAUAUUUUCGAUUCUUGUAUUGCCUUCUGGAGCUCCAACUCUAUAUUCUCUCCUCUCCGAAUCUCGUCAUCAUCUCUAAAUGUGUGAAACCCUGCUUGAACCAGGGCCCAGUAGAGGUGAUCGGUAAAGUUCUUGCGGGUGUCUUCACCUCUAAAACUCAAGAACACUUGAUAUUUACAAUUAGAAAACCGAGAAGAGUAGGAUUCUUGAUAUUUCUCAGCAGCCAUUUCGAGUCUAGCAAAGAUAAGACUUUACAAAGAUCUGGACAAAAAAAAAGAAAUUGCAGGAUUAAAGUCGAUAGUUCAAGAUCGACAGCACACCAAUAAGCUGAAGUGUUCAUAUAUUAUUAUCUUACUUUGUCUGUAAGACAAUUUUCAAGUUAUUUCCCAGCAAUCAACUCCUCCAUGCCCUUUCAGAAAAAUAUGUGUACAUAUGAUAAAUUUCUAUGCUGAACCACCAAAAUCGGUUGAUGAGAUCAUCAAUAAUUAGUUUCUAACAGUGAAUUAAUCUAAGUGAUUCUCAGUUACAGCAGAGUUACAUUCCACAAUAUAACAUAAUACUAAAUAGAUAAGAGAGAGAGAGUACCUGUAAUCUUCACUUUCCCUUCGCUGAUGUUCUCUUGUUAGUUCAUCAAUUUUCUGCUUUUAAGUCUCUGUGGUAUGGGCCAUUUCCGCGUUAGGACCUGUUUACUGGGGCCUGUAAUUCUUGUUACAAUUACCAAAAGGGACAUUAGACACACACAAAACACAUAAUCCCUCUCAUCAACUCACACGGUUCUUCUUCCUUCACCCACCAGUAAGAAAAAGGCACGUGCAGGAUCAAGCCUCUUCAUAUCUGACUUGGAAAGUUUAUUAGCCUGUAAUUUUGCAUCAUUUGAAUUGAUUCUAGCCUUUUCUUUCUGUUGAAAGCAAAGUAGAUAUAAGAAGAAUUACUCGGAAAAACAAAGCAAUUCCAUAGGUGAAAACAUGUCAGACUUGAUUAUAUUGGCAAAGAGUUGCUAGUGGGCACUCCGUAUAAAAUGCUGGCGAUGAUCAUGUUGGAAAUGCAGAGUGUUUAACUGAGAGUCCUGUCUUGAACUCUGAGGCUGAGAAACAUCAGUUGGUUUCUUCAAACUGGGACAACAACUACUAAAGAAGUAUGCAAAACUGGGGAAAGACAUACUGAAGAAUUUUGGAUGGUUAGAUCUCGGGAGGAAGGUUUAUCCUCGGGAGGAUGGAUUGCAUAUUCGACUUCCUAUCACUGAAGACCAAGAACACCCAUAAUUAUAGGAAGACUUCCAAAAAUAUUCAAUUUUUAUUCAUUUGUCAAAUCUAGAAUUUUUAAACUCAACCCGGUUCAAGGUCUUUGGUCACUAGGUUGCCUAGGUAAAUUUUGAUUUUUUUUUAAAAUCAAAACAUCAUUUUAGUAAGAAAAAAGUCAAUGAGUUGAAACUGGAUUUUUAACCAAGUUUUACCGGGUCAUCUCGGGUUUUGAUUUUUUCUAUUUUUUCUUAAACUCGGCUUGGUUCCAGCCCCGGGUCUCGGACCGGGUUUCAAAACUAUGAUCAAACCUAUUACAACCCUUUAUAUAGAAAUACUAAAAACAAAAACCCUUAUUAAUGUUAAAAAAAAAAAAUAGAAAAAUUAUUCUAUUCAAAUAGAAAAACUAAAAAAGCCCAGAAAUACAUAAUAGGAAAAGAAAAUAUAAAAAAAUAAAUUAACUAAAAAAAUAUUUAUUUCCAAUGAACUGGAUAGCAUGAAUUUGUUCAAUCAACUCGCCACCUAGUUUUUUAAAAACUCAAUCCAGAACAUUUCUCAACUUUCUCAAAUUGACUUGUAUAUAUUACACACACCCAACCUCUAACCCUCCCAUCUCUUCAUUUUUAUUAACUCAAACUCCUUUGUUUAUUGCUCUUGUAGGCUCAAGCUGAGCUGAACUCUGAACUAAGCUUAGUCCCGAGAAAACAGAGAAACUUCCCCCACACUUCCUCUCCUCUCAAAAACAAACCUCCCCAGUCCCCUCUCUCUCUCUCUUUCAUUAUCCAACAAUAUGGAUAGGCCACAAAGAAUAUCCACGAAAGAACCUCAAGCAAUCCUCUCUCCAUGCAGCAGUAGAAGUAGGAGACCAAGCAGUGAUUCAAACUCACCCGAAUUUGAGUUCUGGAUCCAAAACCCAUCUUUCCCUCAACCAAAUCUUGUUUCAGCUGAUGAACUCCUCCUUGUUGAUGGCGCCCUCCUCCCUCUCCACCUCCUCCACCACCCUGACCCUGACUCAACCGAACCCAAACCUCCCAACUCUCAAACUAACCCUGAACCCGAAAUUUCACCACCAAGCAUAACCAUGGAGCCAACAACAAGUUCCAAGAGUUGGGAAGGUACAAUAUUCAAGAAAGGUGACAGGAAAACUUCAACAGCUGCCAAGAAACAAGACGAGAAAAAUAAAGAAAAUGACAAAAAGAGAGACAGGAGUCAAAUGGAACGAGUUCAGCUAAGCUGAAUACCAACAUAUGGCCAUUUUCUUUUAGUUAGUUUACAGUAAAAAAGAAAUACAUAUAGAAAAAAAUAUAAAUAUAUUUAGUUGGAGAAACAAAAAUAUAAAAUAAAUCUAUUUUAGGAACAGUUUUAAAAUAAAUUUUUAUUUUUUUCAAAUAUGAGAUACGGGGAGAUAUCUCCUUCGUUCCCCCCUGUUCUCUGUUUCUUUUUUUCUCUUCGUUCCUCCCUCUUCUCUGUUUUUAUCUUCGUCCCUUCUGCCUCUCUUCCCUUCCUGUUCUGUGUUUGCUCUGUUCUUGCUCUUCGAUCCCCCUCCAUGUUCUUUUUUUUUCUUUUUUUUUAAAAAACCCUCCCUAUAGCCAGAGAAUGCCAUGCGGUUACCCAGAUAAUAAAGAGCUUAUGGGACUGUUAUUGCAGAAGUUUGAAAUUCUACAGAAGGUAACCUUGUGUAUGUGCAACAGCACAGGUCGAGCUUUUAAUACCUCCAUCACUGCCAUCGGGCCACUCCCACCGCCUCCUCCACUCAGUUCUUAAAAAAGAAGCAAAGAUGGGGUUUGUGAGGGUCUACACAAAACCACAGCUCUGCGGCGUUGGUCAUGCUCUUCAAGAUGAGGUUGCCGUCUAUUUCUCCUCAGACAUACUCAGCAAUUUCUUCAAGAUUUAAACCUGAAAUACUUUUAGCACUUGAUAUAGCUCCAACAGCCAACCAUUAAAAAGUCCAAGUGAUCAGAACUUUGUGGCUUUCGCGUCUCCUAGAACAACUGUUGCUGUCAAAAACCAGGGAAAUGAAAAACACAUUUCAAGAUCCUCAUAAUGUUGAUAAAAAGAGGGUCAAAAUGUUUGAGGUCAUGGGUGACAGUGCAGUGCUGGUAUAUGAAAACCAUGAUCAUGAUCAUUAAUCGAAAUCAUGAACAAAUUGCGUCUUUUGAUUCAGGAUAACGAGACUUUCAAACCAUGAUCUUAAAAUAACUGUUUUUUUAUGAAAAGAAAGAGUCUCAUAGGCAGUCAAAGUUAUUGGAUACUAUAGAAAAUUUUACGAUUUCCACUUUUUGUUAUUGAAUUUUAAUUCUAUCUUUUAAUUUGAUAAUUUUCAAUCAAAAUUAAUUUUUAAAUUUCUAAUUUUGAUAUUAAUUAUAUUUUAUUUUUACAAUAAAAAUAUCUAUGUUAAUUUAUUAUGAAAAUUUAAUAAAAUCCAUUCAAUUUUUAAUUAAAAUGAAAUAUAUUCAAAUUAUAAAAACCUCUCAAUUAUAUUUUAAAGACAUGCCUAUUUAUUUUUUAUUACAAGUGAACUUAUCUCGUGAGGAUAUAUAUAGAAACAAAAAAUUAAUUACCAAUUAAAUUUCAUCAUGUGUUACUUUUAUUUUUACAUAAAAAGAUGAAAUAAAAUAGAUAAAAUAACAUGAAAAAAAUGGACCUUUACAUAUAUUUUGGUCAAUAGAAAAUUGACACAUAAAAUAAGAUAUUUAAUACAUCUUAUUAUAAAUAUAAGAUUUUAUAAAUAAAAAUUAAUUAAUAAAAUAAUAUCAUAUUACAUUUUUUAAUAUGAAAGCCCUUAUAAAUAUUUAUAAAUAAAAGAUCUCAUGCUAGACAAAGAAAGGAGGAAGAUUACUAUUUUCUAGACCUUUCUUUGCAAAAUACCACCAACAGAUAUUGCGAGGACUGUAUUUACCAUGGAAAGCACAAUAAUAAUUUCUAAAAACACGAGAAGCUAUUUUUACUCUGGCUACAUCUUCCUUUGAUUGGAUAUCAUUUCCUUCCUCUUCAUGCAACCAUUGUACACCAACGGUCCUUAAUUGGAUAGCUGGACCAAGUGGACGCACUGAAAUACUCACGUCAUCACCAUUAUCAAAUGUAGGAUCAUUGCCCCCUAAUUUCAUGUGCAAUAGCGAUUGGAUUUCACGAACACCACGCUUGUAUAUCAUAGAGAUGACAAAGGCUCGACGAAGCAUGGAUAGACCACUGGUAUUGUUUCUGAUUUCAAUAUAAACAUAACUAAAGCCACGGUAUACUGACGUCACACAACUUAUGAACAGAUUAUAGCCACAUAUCUUGUGCGCAGGAGGUGAUGAGGAUAUUUUGAAUGAAAAGUUAUCUACAAACUCAUUCUGAAUUAGCCAUUUAUCCUCUUCUUCCUCCUCGUAAAACCACCUUGACUUCUCUUCUUCAUCAAAUACAGAUGCGACAACGUUGAAUACGCCAUCUGUAAAUAUUAUCUGUACCACCAAAACAAUGUCUAUAAAAUGAGCAAAAGAAAAGUAUUCAAAUGUAGAUUUCCAAAACAAUAAAAUGGGUAAGGGAGGACCUGCAAUCUUGAUGUCUGUAUUUGAGCACUAACUGUUUCCAUUGUUCUGAACAUGUGAGAGUCAAAUAUUUGGAUUAAAUCUUGCUUUAUCCGAUCUUGAAACUCGACUAAGUGAACUGGCUUUCCAAGGUAUUGCAGUGAAUAGCAAGAGGCCACAUCUAACGAAUCCAAAUGGGGUGGAAACUCUGGGAGUGCCUGAAGCAUUUUGCAAUUUCUUAAAUAUAGGGCUCUGAGGAGACCAAGAUCCUUGAUGCUUUCUGGAAGAAAACGAAUUGGAGUUCCACUUAAAUCUAGACUCUCCAAUAAGCGUGGCAGUGAAAACAAGGUAAAUCUCAACAUUUUCCUCGUUGAAAACCUAGAGGAAAAAGAAUAGCUUCAAUGGAAGGGUUGAAAUGAAUGAUGUAGUUGCAACAAUUCCAUCACUUUGAAGCAACUUGCGCCCCUGUUGAUGCUCUAACUCCAUAUUCAGGCUACCAAGAUUUGAGCAACCAUCUAAAACCAGCUCUUGAAGUGAAUUCAAUCUACUCAUUUCUUUUGGAAGCUCCAUAAGACUUGUACAAUUUCUUAUAUUUAAGAUCAACAAUCUUUGUAAAUCACCAAUAGAUUCGUGAAUUUGAACCAAACGGAUGCAGUCUUCAAGUAUUAGCUUUUCAAGGGCUGGGAGACCCGAGAAGUCUGGGGUUCUAAUGAGAUCACGAGAGUGACGGAGAUCAAGAAUUUUCAAUUUUGGAAGAAACUGUGAAAAUACAUGAAUUUAGUUAUUAUCAAUUGAAAACGAGAGAGAUAGCUAUAGAGAGACUUGAUACAUACCGGUUUGGCCUUCCAAGCAUCAACUAGACAGCUUCUGGAUAGAUCAAGAACCACCAGCUUCUCCAAGCAUAUGUGAUUUGGUAUGGAGCUCCAAGACAAACCAUGCCAACAUAACCAUAUCAAAUUCUUGGGAAAGUGCUCAAAACUUCCAUGAAAAUUAGUGUAGUUUAGUUGGAGAAAUUUUACAUCUGGCAUCUUUCUAAAAGCAUCCGUGCUGAGGAUGGGAAACAAACUUGUUUGGCCAGUUUGUAAUUUUCCUCCAUCAGAAAAAUCGGAAAGCCAUUGUUGAAAGAAGUUAAGCCUGCGGCGCUUGCGACAAACCAUUGAAUCAGUACAGACAACUUCUGCAUAAUGAUAUUCCAUUAAUGAAUGCAUAUCAAUGGUAAGGCCACGCAUUUUUUCAGCAUCCUGCAUAAUAAUAUUAAAAAGUACAUGAGAAAGGAAAGUAGAUGAAUGAAUAUGUCAAGGCACCACAAACCAUUUAAGUAGACAUUUAAAAAAAUUUAGCUACUUACAGUAGUUCCUUUCAAAACUGUAAAAGCAUCCCCAUGAUGCCAUAUUCUUUGCCAUUUGGGUGAUUCUUGACGAGCAAUUUCCCUACCCAUAUCUCUUACUAGUUGAUGCAUCCACAACCUUUGAUCACUGUUGAUUUCAACAAGACAUCUAUCGAUGAGAUUGUCAAUCCCAAAUCUUGCACCUCUAUCAAGCCCAUCCAGUAUCCUAACUGCAUCAUCCACAUCCAUUCCAUUGAAGAAACAUGUGAUGUCAAGGAAUAAGUUCUUCGGAUAAUCACCAUCAAGAAAGUCGUAACUUAUUCGAAGAACCUUUUGAACUUCAAAAUUAGGAAUCACUUCCAUUUGUUGUAAUGCGCUUUCCCAUAUCUCUCUUCCUUUUCCAGACAAUGAAGAGCCAAUAACUCCAAGAGCUAAUGGAAGUCCAUUACAAUGAUGUACUAUUCUCCAAGAGUCUUCUACAAAACCAUCAACAGGGUCAGCUUGUCCAAAGGCAUUCCAACUGAAAAGCUCAAGUGAUUUUUCAUCAUCUAGCGGUUCAACUUUGCACCGGACCCCCUCAAUAUCAUUAGCUGAAAACAGACCCUUAUUUCUGGUUGUUACAAUGAUUUUACUUCCUUUACAAAGCCAAUUUUGCAUGCCAAUGAUUUUAUUGAAUUGGUCCCUUUUGUCCACAUCAUCUAGAACAAUAAGAGUUCUUCUGCAACAUAAUGCAUCCUUAAUCUUCAGAAUUCCUUCAUCAGAAUCAUUUAUCUCAACAGUCUUGUUUAGGAUGUCGAAAAGAAGUUGCCUCUGUAGGCAAACUAUAUCCUUUGACCUAAAAUUUGAUAGAAAGCUCUUUCCUUCAAAUUUAUAAAAGUUCUGGUUAAAAACACUCUUAGCUAUGGUUGUCUUUCCAACUCCACCAAUUCCAUAGAGUAAAGCAAUGGCAGCACCAUGGGACCCAUCUUGCAACCAUGAGUUGAUAUCUUGUACUAGAGGAUCUCUUCCAAUGAAAUGAGGGGGUACAUGAAACAUUUUUUGAUCCAAAUUCUUUAAGACCUUCUCCACAAUAGAUUGGACAAACGGUGCCUCGUACCUACAUCAAAAAGUAAAAUACAAUGUACGAUAAUUAGUAGUCUCUCUAUAAGCAAUAGAAAUAAACAACAUUUAGCUAUGAAAUUAAAGCAGGUUGUGUGUCAAUGAUUUGAUAGUUUAAACCAAAUCAUGAUUGGAAAAAAAAACAAUGAAGAAAUCAUGAGUAUUUUUUUUUUUUGUUAUAUGUUUUCUUAUCAGUACACUUAACUGAAAGAAAUUAAGAGUUCACAACCAGCAUUCUAGUCUUAUGCUAUGUAUUGUUUCAUAAAGAGAUACAACUUACCCAUCUCCUAGAACCAUUCCAGCUAAAUCAGCCACUUCCUUUAAAGCAAUCCUCCACCCAUUCACCCGCUCCAUCUCCUCGUUGAAGCUCUUUUCAUGUUCCACAAAUGCUGCAGAGAAGCUCCCUGUUUGACGUCCGACUUGGGAUGGAUCCACAUCAUAGAAUACUGGCAAAACUAUGCAGUCAGCAUUCCUCUUACGUUCCAUGAUCAUUACAAGUUCAUCCAGGCACCAUCUCGACGAAGCAUAGUCUUUGGAGAACACGAUUAUCGAUAUUUUUGAUUGUUGUAUUGCCUUCUGGAGCUCGAAAUCUAUAUUCUCUCCUCUCCGAAUUUCAUUAUCAUCUCUAAAUGUGUGAAUCCCUGCUUGAACCAGGGCCGUGUAGAGGUGAUCGGUAAAGUUCUUGCGGGUGUCUUCACCUCUAAAACUCAAGAACACUUGAUAUUUACAAUUAGGAAACCGUGAAGAGUAGGAUUCUUGAUAUUUCCCAGCAGCCAUUUCGAGUCUAGCAAAGAUAAGACUUUUCAAAGAUCUGAACAAAAUAAAACAGUUUUCAAGAUUGAGAGAGAAAGGGUGGAUUGUUAAUUUAAGACAAGUCAUCCCCACAAGUCCACUCUCUCUAUGGUAUGGAACGUUUCCGCGUGAGGAAUUUUCCAUGGCUAAUUAAUGUCUAGGCUUGACCAGUUAUGCAUGGAAAAUUUUGCAUGGAAAGUUUUGGUGCCGGGAAUUGAUGGCUAUUGACAUCGUGAAGUAAGAAUCAAGUUAGAAAAAUAUAAUUAAUAGGAGAAGUUUAUGGCUAUUCACAUCAUUUCGGCCAAAAAUUCUAUCGAAAAAUUAAGGGGUAAGAAACCCAGACGAUAAGGAUUGCAUAAUGACAUAACAGAAAACCAUGUGAAUAGAUCAAAGCCACAUAUCCACUGGAUAUUUUGAAUGACAAGUACGUACUCUACAAACUCUUUCUAAAGUAGCCACUCCUGUUCUUCCUCCUCGUGAAACCACAUUAACAUCUCAUUUUCAUCAUAUUCAAGGACAAUGUUGAAUCUGUUGCCCUAAAGUUGUAUCUGUUCCAUCAAAGCAGAAUUUAUAAAAUGAGCGAAGGGAAAAUUUUCUAGAUAUACAAGAACAAAAAACGUAGAGUUUAAAUAAAGCAGAACUUAUAAAAUGAACAACGGAUUAAAUUUUGGAAGAGACUGUGAAAACACUUGAAAUCGGUUGCUGUCCAUUGAAAAUAAAAGAGACUAGAUACAUAACGGUUUGCCUUUCCAAGCAACAAUUAGACUGGUUCUGGAUUAGAUAAAGAGCCACAAGCUUCUCUAAGCAGAAGUGCUUUGGUUUGGAUCAUGUAAAAACCCAACCCUUUUAUUUUAAUUUAUUAUUAUUAUUUUCCUUGAAAAAAAAAUAAAUGAAGAAUGAAUUAAAAUUUAGAUUAACAGCAAGUACAAGUUUUGGGAUUUAAUUAAACUUUGUAUUAGUUUUAUUAACCAAAUUAAGAAUUUAAUUGAGGAAUUGAUAAGUUUGGGACUUAAUUGAACUUCAAAUUAGUUAAUUAAUGAAAUCAAGAGCUUAAUUAAAUAAAUAUCAAAGUUUAGGGUUGAUUCUAGGUAAAAUUGCAAGAAAUUAAAAUUAAAGGACCCAUUUACAAUUGGCGUUGACAUGUAGGAGUCCAAUUAAAGUUUAUCCAGGAGCUUGCUUACAAAUCUUUCAGACCAAAACGAAAAUGGCCAUCAACACUGUUCAUCUUCUUCAGCGAACCAAACCAGAAACGGACUCCCCACGAUCCCAAUUACUCCUGCAAUAACAACGGUCGGUCGCCUCAUUAUUUAGAGGCGACUGCAUGGCAUUCUCUGGCUUUAUAAAAAGCCAGAGAAAGACCAUGCACACGGGGGACUGGGGGAAGGAGAAACGUAAAGAAGAACAGGAAAAAAAAAAAAAAACAGAAGAGAGAAACAAGGGAUGACAGAGAAGAGAUUGAAGAUAAAAACAGAGAGAAAGAACGAACAUCAGUGAAAAACUAAAGGGACGCCCUUGUCUUCUUCUUUGGUGGCAGCUCCAAAAGCUCCAUUUUCAGCAGCAAAGGUUAUUGCUUGAGAAGACCAAAAAAUACAGAGGGAAGAACUGGAAAAGGGAACAAACCAGGGGACUAAGGAAAAACCAAAAGAACCCGGGAAGGAAACAGAGGUAGAUACCCGGGGAGGACAAAGAAAAAAAAAAGCAGCCGAACAGAGGAGAGGGAGUGAAAGUAGGAAACACAGAAUCCGCAGAGAAGAACAGAGCAUAUACGGGGAGACUAAAAGAAAAAUAGAGAAAAACAAACACAGGCAAAGGUUGCACCGAGAGAAAGCAAAAGAAAAGAAAGAACCAGAGGAAAAGUAAACGAAAGGAGGAACAGCACGCCAUCGCCUUCAUCCUGCUCCCAGGUAAGUGUCUCCAAUUUUGCAAAAUAAUUCACCAACACUGUGUAUUAGAGAUUUAAUUACAUGGAAACUGUAGUGUCGCACCCCAAAAAAUAACAAAAAAAAAAUUUGUUUUUUGCGACAUUCGACUGGCGACUUUCGUUUUGUUCUUUUUUUGCUGAUUUGGUUCUUUGGAGUCGCCACCUAGUAUUUUGGUCACUAGGAACCCUAACUGGUCUUUCAGAGAUUCUAAGGCAAGGGACUGGUUGCGUAAAGGGAAGGUAUUAGCACCCCUAGUACGCCCUAUCUAAGGUAAGCUGUUUGGUGUUUUGGUUUGCUCUAUAAUUGCUAUGGUGUUGGUAUUUUCUAGACUCGUCAAUUGAUUUUGGAUAGAAAUCUAAGGAGAUUCCAUGUGCUUUAAAAGCUCAUUUUUCCCUUAGUAUUUCAAGAGUUUGCGACUCAUAAAUCGUGGAAAUAAAAAAAAAUUAAAAUUUUAAAAUGUCCUCGAUUAUAAUCAAGGCUUCUUUCAAGAAUAUGUGCGGAUUUAUUACUCCCGAUAAUAUUUUGGAUAUUCAUCAUUUUAAGGAUUUCUUUAUCCAAACAUUAGCGGUGAAUAAUAAAUAAAUUUCCUCCCCAAAAAUAAGAUUUUUAUAGUUUUUGGAAUAUUGGUCAAUACCCUUUGAAGUUUUACAAACAUGUUGUAAAAUCCAGAAAUGCAAGAAAAUAAUUUGUGUUUAAGAAAUCUAUGCGAAAACACACUUUCGAAGCUUCCAAUAUAUUUUUUUUUAUAAAAAGAACAUUCAAAACAUGUUAGAGUAUUGGCCGUAUGCAGCACGCAACAAAACAUUUUUUUUUGUAAACAAUAUAUUUUUUUUUUGACGAAAUCGAGUAUUUUAAUACUGAAUUUGUAUCUCCACAGCAUAAAAAAUACAAACUAAUAUUAAGUCAUUUAAAAAAAAUGUACGGAAAAAAUCAACAAUAUUUUUAAGGAAUUUUAGAAUUUUUUUUUUAAAGCAAAAAAAAUUUAUCUUUGAAAAUUUUGGGUGUCUCGACGAAAAUCAGAUAUUUUAAAUACUGAAUUUAUACCUCCACAAUAUAAAAAAAUACAAACCCCCUUAAAAAAAAAAUAUAUAUAUAUAUAUAUAUGAAAAGAAAACAACAACAUUUUUUAGAUUUUUCAAAUUUUUUUUUUUUAAAAAAAAAUAUAUAUAUAUAUAUAUAUAUAUAUACACACACAUAAUAUAAUAUAAUAAUAUAAUAUAAUUAUAAUAUAUUAAUAUAUUAAGGGGGCUGGGCCGGCCCAAAUAAAUGGGCCAGGCUCAGCCCAAAAAAAAAAGGGCCGACCUCGGCCCAAAAUUAAAUUGGGUCGAUCUCGGCCCAAAAACUUCUACAGUCUGGGCCAGGACCGACCCAGACUUGCAAGGCUGGGCCAGCACCCUCGGCCCAGCGGAGGGAAGAAUUAAUUUUCUUCCCCCCGCUUCCUGCAUGCAGGAGGCAACGCCUGCUUCGAAAGCAAAGAGGGAAGAAGAAGAUGUACCUGGCGUGGAGGAGGCGGUCGCUGGUGGUGCUGCGGUGGCGUGGCUCGUGGACGGCGGCGCUGCGGCUGUUUCCAAGUGUUCGGUUCGCUCUCUCUCUCUCCUCCCUUCUCCCUGUUUCGGUUCUCUCUUUUUUUCUUUUGUUUUCAGUUUAGUUCCAAUAUUCCCUUCUCUCUCUCUCGUGCGUGCUCUCUCUUUUCCUCCCUUCUCGGUUUGUUGUUUUUUUUCUUUUUUGUUUCCCCGGUCCUCCCUUUUUCUUCGGUUUUCCUUCCUAUUUAUAGGGGCGAAAAGACGAUGCCUUUUGCUAGUGCGCCUUGGGAGUAAAUCACGCAACGGCUGGUCGGCCAUUGACGCGUUCGGUGGUGAUGGUGGGGGCGAGGAGAGAGAGGCGGGAAGGUUUGAAAACGGAUUUCUUCUUCUUUUGCAGGUUCGGGGGGGGAAGAAGAAGAGGAACAGUGUCGUUCAAAACGACACCGUUCCGGUCUCUUCUUUUUUUCUUUUUUUCUUUAACAUGAAACGGCGUCGUUUUGGACAAAACGCGCCGUUUCAUUAAAACAGGGCGCCAACACGCGCCAAACUUCAAAUCAGCCCUCAAUCAUCUUUAAUUCAUUUCAAUUGCAUCCCUGCCAAUUCAGUCCCCGUCCCUCUUGUUGGCCGCGUUUUUCACUUUGGUCCUUGGCCUCUGAUUUAUGCAAUUAAGCCCUCAAAUUGAUCAAUAAACUUCCAAUUUCUUCAAUUAGGCUCCUGAUCCAAAGCAAAACUGCCCCCUCUAUUUACCUGGUUUUUCCAAAUUGAUCCCUGGUUUCGGUUUUUCACAAUUAAACCCCUAAUUGGCCAUUAAACUUCAAUAUUUAUUCAAUUAAGCCCCUGAUUUGGCCUAAUAAAUUCCUAAAAAUAUAUAUAUUGGCCCCAGAACUUAAAUUUCUUCUAAUUAAAGCCCAAAUUGACUUAAAAAUCAAUUUUUCUUGCAAUCAAAUCCCCUAUAAAAUCAAUUAAAAAUCCAAUUAAGUCCAUAAACAUCCAAACUUGGGCUUUUCUCCUCAAAAUUCAAAUUUCCUUCUCAACAGGGCUCUCAUCCUUCAAGAAUAUACUGUCAAAAAUUCAAUCCUUGUAUUUUUAAAUUCCUUGACCAAUUUUCUGACUGUUUUCUGAGCGCUUCUGCCUCCUGUUAUUUUUUCUAACCUCUUUUGGCUAUUUAUAUUAUUUUUCAUGGGGACCAAUUCACACAUGUUUGUGGGUAAAAACCUAACCCAAAAAAAUAAAAAUAAAAAUAAAAAUAAACAACUAAAAUAAAAUAAAAUAAAUGUAUGCAUGCAUGCAUACAUAAAAAAUAAAUUUGGUUUAUUGGUUUAUUUACUGAUAUUAGAAUCAUAAAUAAAAAUACUUAUUUAAAUUUAUUUUAUUAUAUUUUGUUAUUAUUAUUUUCUAGCUACGUAAUAUUUACUAACGCCAGAGUUGAAAAUAUUUAUAGAUGAAUAUUCACUGAUGCUAUUGUCGGGAAUAUUACAAGCAAACCAUCAGAGCAUAAACCAAUAAAUUUUUAGGAAUUUAAGAUAAAAUCAACAAUGCAACCUGUCAUAGACAGAAAGUUUAAGAGCUGAUAAUAUCUUCUCUUUUAUAUAACCAGUUUUGUACCAUAAAAUCUCUGUUGACUAGUUAGGGUUCUUAGUGACCAUAAUACUAUAUGACAACUCUUUAAACAAGAUCAUUACCCAUAAAAAAACAAGAUGUUAAAUGUCUGUUUUUUUUUCUUAUAAAAUUUCAUUUUUACAUGGUCGCGCGAAGUCCAAUGUGACAUAUCUUAAAGGGAAUCCAUGCCAACAUAACUACAUCAAAUUCUUGAAAAGUGUUCAUAACUUCCAUAGAACUUGUGUAAUUUAGCUGGAGAAAUUUUACAUUUUACAUCUUUCUAAAUGCAUCCGUGCUGAGGACAAGAAACAAACUUGUUUGGUUAAUUUGUACUUGUUCCCCCAAGAAAAACUCAGAAAGCCACUAUUGAGAGAGGAGUGUAGGAAGAAGACACUGUUGAAAGAAGUUAAGCCUGCAGCGGUUGCAGGCGCACCAUUGAAUCAGUACAGACAACUUCUGUACUUAUUCAUGCAUAUACAAGGUACGUAAGGCCACACAAUUUUUCAGCAUCAUGCUUCCAAAAUAUUGAAAGUAAAUGAGAAAAGAAAGUAAAAGCAUGAACAUUUUAAGACACCUAAUACCAUGAAGAUAGGAAAACAGAACCAGUUACUCUUACACUUGUUUCUUUCAAAACUGUAAAAGCUUCCAUGUGUGAUGCCAUAUUCUUUGACAUUUGGGUGAUUCUUGACGAGCAAUUUCUCUUCCCAUGUCUCUUACAAGUUGAUGCAUUUAUAAAUUUUUUUCAUUUUAUUUUAACAAUUUCUACAAGACAUCAAUCGAUGAGAUAAUCAAUCCUAAAUCUUGCAUCUAUACCGAACCCAUCAAGUGUCCUAACUGCAUAAUUCUCAUCCAUUCCAUUGAAGAAAUAAGCAAUAUCAAGGAAUAAGUUCUUCUGAUAAUCAUCAUCAGGAGAGUUCUAACUUUUUGCAAGAACCUUUUGAACUUGACAAUUUGGAAUCACUUCCAUUUCAUGUAAUGCGCUUUCCCAUACUUUUCUGGUUUUACUAAAAAAUGAAGAACCAAUAGCACAAAGGGCUACUGGAAGUCCAUUACAAUGAUGUACUAUUCUCCAAGAUUCCUCUAUAAAAUCUUCAACUGGGUAAGCUUGUCCACAGGCAUGCCAACUCAAAAGAUUAAGUGAUUUUUUGUUAUCUAGAGGUUCAUCUUUGCACUUGACACACUCACCAUCAGCUACAAUCAAAGCCUUAUUUCUAGUUCUUACAAUGAUUUACUUCCUUGGCGAAGCCAAUUUCUAGUUCUUACAAUUUCUAGUUCUUUCAAAACUAUAAAAGCUUUCAUGUGAUGCCAUAUUCUUUGACAUUCGGGUGAUUCUUGACGAGCAAUUUCCCUUCCCAUAUCUCUUACGAGUUGAUGCAUUUAUAACUUUUUAUCAUUUUUUAUUUUAACAAUUUCUACAAGACAUCAGUCGAUGAGAUAGUCAAUCCUAAAUUCUAGUUCUUACAAUUUGCACUUGACACACUCACCAUCAGCUACAAUCAAAGCCUUAUUUCUAGUUCUUGCAAUGAUUUACUUCCUUGGCGAAGCCAAUUUCGCGUGCCAACAAUUGCAUUGAAGUGGUCCCAUUUGUCCACAUCAUCAAGAACAAUAAGAUUUCUUCUGCAACAUAACGCAUCCUUAAUAUAAUCCCUCCAUCAACAUCAUGUAUGUCAUCAGCAUUGUUUAGGAUAUCUGAAAGAAGUUGCCUCUGUAGGCAAACUACACCAUUGGAUUCUUUUGACUAUUCUCUAACAUUUGAUGGAAAGAUCCUACCUUCAAACUUAUGAAACUGCUGGUUAUAAACACUAUUUGCUAUGGUUGUCUUCCCUACUCCACCAAUCCCAUAGAGUAUAUCAAAGGCAGAACUGUGGGAGCCACAUUCUUCCAACCAUAAGUUGAUAUGUUUUACUAGAGGAUCUCUUCCAAUGAAAUAAAGAGGGAUAUGAAAUAUUUUACGAUCCAAUUUCUUUGAGACCUUGUCGACAAUAGAUUGGAAAAGCUGUGCCUCAUGCCUGCAUCAAAAAGAAAAAUGCAAUAUAUGAUAAUUAGUAAGUCUCUCUGUAAAGUUUCAAAAUCUUAGUAUCUUUGAAAAAAGAAAUUAAACCAGCAUUCUUUUUUUUAGUUGAUCAUUUUGAAUUUUUUUUUUGUUCGAUUUGUUUAUUGUUGUUGUCUAUUUUUUUUAAUUAUAUUAUUAAAUUAAUUAUAUUUAUUGAACUAAGGCAACUUAACAACCUAAGUCUUUAAUUAUUUUUAUUUAAAAAAAAAACCACUAUCAUCACCUCAACAUCUUUUUUACAUUGAAAAAAACUUUGCCCUGUAAUACAGUUCAGGUAAAUAAUCUAGUUACAGCUAAUCACGUGGCCACAAAGCCCCACUGGGAUUCAUAUUCCAUAAGAUGGCUCCAAUAUUCAUUCGAUGGUGUGUAUGGUAGGCUAGACAUGUGAAGCCCAUUAAUUGAUUCUGUCCAUAUUAUUUAUGUUAACCCGACCCGGUUGUGCUUUUUGAAGGUCCACCAGGCUUGUUCCCCUGUUCAGAUCUUAGCAAAAAAAUAUUGAGUGAUCGAUCUACAUGAGCAAUUUUGUUUGUUGCGUUAGCCAUGUUUCUUAUUUGUCAUGCAUGCUGUAAGGGGCAUUGGAAACCCUUUUAUACACAUGAAUUACUCGCUUCAGGAUGAGGAAAGUUUUAUAGCUUGUGGAUUUGAUUGAUUCCCAAUGGAGAAAGAAAAUCACUCAGAUUUUGUUGCAACUGGUCAAUACGGAAAAGACAUGCCUGUUGCAUAUGGAGAAAGUGAACGGUUGUUGGGAAAAGUUUUCUCACUUGCAGGAGAUAACUUGGAGGCCAUCGUGCAAGAGAUAAACCCACUUCCUUUCAGUAUACUCAAACCUUGGAUUCUAAUUCAAAUAGAAUCUUUCCACAAUUCAAUCUCAAGAAGGCCAUCGUUACGCACUCAUCAUGGUGCUUUGGAGACCAGAGGCAAUUUUCACUUCUUCACCUUCUCCAUAUGCUCUACAAAACUUCCUUUCCGGGAUCCUUGCUCCUUGGUUGCAGAGGAGAAAGCAUCUAGCAGUGAUAAUGAGAACUCUCCUGCAACAAAGGGUACUGGAGAGUUUCAAAAGAGGAUUUGUGAUAAAGGCACCAUGAAGGAGAAACGUGGAAAGCCAGUGGUUGCUUCAGAUAGACCUGGAAAAGGGGACAAGCUACACAAGCACAAUAUCCACCAUAGCGACGGUGCCAAAUAUAUGUCAUACUUGAAGAUAAGCAAGAAGCAGCACCAACUUGUUAAGAGCCUGAAGCAAUCCCAGUAAAAAAAAAUUCAAUCUAAACCUCUUAACUGUGCGUUAGGUGACCUUGAUAAUUUGCAUGUACAACCAUAUAAAGAAUUUGUGAAAGAGGAACAUAAGAAGUUGCAGGAGCAUUGGAUACAAUUGGCAAACGAAGAUCGUUCUGCAGCAUAUGCAGGCUGUGUUUCGGGAUCAGAUUGAUUAAGGUGCAAACAAACAUGGAGGAUGUGCUGGAAUAAUAAUGGAGCAAGAAACAAAGAAAUCGACAUUUCUGACUCUAUGGCAAUUCUGGUUUUAAUUAUCUCCCCACAGGAUCAGUCUCUGCAGUUUAUUUCUGUUGUUCAAAUGGUAUUUAGAAAACUUAGCUUAAUCAAAGAACAAAGGGCAUAACAAGAACAUCUAGGUUACUGUCAUCCCUCAAAUUUAUUUAUAUGCAAAAUAAAAAAUUACAAGAUCUUUAUCAUAAAAAAAAGAAUCAUAACAACCAUAAUUCCUUUCAUCUAAGGGAUUACAUAACUACAUAGACUUAUUCUAAAUCAAAAAAAAAAUAUCUAGAUAAACUCAAGUCUAAAAAUCAGAACAUAAAAAAAUACCAUAACAUAUAGAUAAAUAUGGCUGAAAACUAGCUGAUAACAAUUUCCUCCCUUUCUGUUGGCUACGAUCCUAAUCCUAUGUAUAUGAAUAUGGAAAAUAAUCAUGUCCAUUUAAACUCUGAUUCAGAUGAAGCUUCUCCACAUGUAUUUGAGUACUUCUGCAGCAUGCAUGUUGCUGAUGCUCCCAUUGAUCAGGGAGUCCCUAUCUCUUCUUCUAGUGGACAUGUUUGGUCAGCAGUUAGCAUACCCAGUUCAUAUUAACAUCUACUGGUGGAUUGUCACAGACACAUCAAGUUAAUGAACAGCAACGUUCCUAUUCGAUUGAUUUGGAAUUGAAAGUGCAUGAAGAAGACACCGGGAAAGAUUUGAUGCACGGAGAAUCUGAUGAUGGCCUUCUUAACUACUUCGAUGAGGCAAAAUAUGAUUUGGUUUGUGAGGGUGGUGUUAUUUUUACACUUGGCCAAGGACACUGACUCACAAAUCAAAUUGGCCUGCUUCAUACAAAAAAUUGAUGCAAAUUCAUAGCUGUACACUGAGUGCCAAAUUAUUUUAGGUUUUAAAAAGCUUUCAAUAUAACACCAAAUCUAAAACAAAUUCAACUCAGCCCAUCAUUAUUUUCACAUUUAAUUUCUUUUCAAAAAAACACAUAAUAAUUUCGUUAUCAAAAUCAUAACGGUCACUGCAAUAAUAAUUUCUAAAAAUAUGAGAAGCUAUUUCUGCUUUAGCUGCUACAUGUACAUCAUCACUAGUGUUUGAUGAGCUGCUAUCAUCAGUUCCUUCCUCUUCAUGCAACAUUCGUACACCAACCCUCUUUAUUUGAACAACCGGAUCAUCUGUAAACACUGAAACACUGAAUUCAUCACCGGUAUCAAACACAGGAUCAUUGGACCCAAAUUUCCAAUAGCUUAGCCAUAACAAUUCAGAUUUUUGAGCUGAAAAUUCUAUCGUAAAAAUUGAGGGGUAAAAAACCCAGAAUCUACCCUUGGUAUUGUUCCUGAUUUCAAGAUAAACAUGAAGAUACGGAUUGGAUACUGGCGUAGCAGAAAACCAUGUGAAUAGAUUAAAGCCACAUAUCCGGUGUGUAGCAGGUGAGGAUAUUUUGAAUGACAAAUGCGAUUCAAACUCUUUCUCAAUUAGCCCUUCCUCCUCAUAAAACCCCAACAUCUAAUUUUCAUUAUAUUCAAGGACAACAUUGAAUCUGUUGCCCUGAAGUUCUAUCUGUUCCAUCAAAGCAUAAAUUAUAAAAUGAGCAAAGGGAAAAUUUUCUAAAUAUCCAAGAAGUACAAAAAUGUAGAGUUGAAAUACAGUAAAAUGGGCGAGGGAGGAACUGAAAUCUCCAUGUCUGCAUUUGAACGCUGACCAUUUCAAUUAUUCUCAACAAGUGUGGGUCAACCUUUUGGGUUAAUUCUAGCUUAAUCAAAUCUUGCUUCUGAACUAAUUGAUCACAAUCACGAGCUAUGGUAAAAGGGAUCAGAUUUGCAAUUCUUUGCAGCGAAUAACAAUAGGACAUGUCUAACGCAACCAAACUGGAUGGAAGCUCUAGGAGUGUUUGAAGCAUUUUGCAUUCCGCUAAUGAAAGGUAAUUGAGUGUACCAAUGUCCUUAAUGCUUGGUGGCUUGGUGGAAGAAAACAAAUUGGAGUUCUACUUAAAUUUAGUGUUGUCAAGGAGUGUGGCAAUGUGAACGAGGUAAAUCUGGAAUUUUUCAUUUCUAAAAACCUGGAGGAAAAGAAUAGCUUCAAUGGAAGAGAUGUAAUUUAAGAUGUGCUUGCAACAAUUCUAUCACUUUGAUGCAUCCUGCGUCCCUGAUGAUGCUCUAAAUCUAUAUUCAAGCUCUCAAGUUUUGAGCAACCACACAAAAUUAACAAGCUCUUCAAGUGAAUUCAAUCUCCUCAUUUCUUCUGGAAGUUCCACAAGACUUUUUCAAUUCUUCAUAUUUAAGAUCACGAGACAAUGUAAAUCACGAAUAGAUUCAUGAAUCUGGACUACAUGGAUGCAGUUUUCAAGUAUUAUCUUUUCCAGGCCUGGGGAUCCAGAGAAGUCUAGGGUUCUGAUAAGGUCAUGCAAGCUAUGCAGAUGAAGAAUUUUCAAAUUUGGAAGAGACUGUGAAAACAAUUACAUGUAGUGGUUAUCAAUUGAAAAUAGGAGGUGUAGCUAUAUAGAAAGAGACUAGAUACAUACCAGUUUGCCUUUCCAAGCACCAAUUAGACUACUUUUGGAUAGAUCAAGAACCACAAGCUUCUCCAAGCAAAAGUGUUGUGGUAUGGAUCUCAAAGAGAAUCCAUGCCAACAUAACCAUAUUAAAUUCUUAGGGAAGUGUUCAUAACUUCCAUAGAACUUCAUGUAAUUUAGUUGGAAAAAUUUUACAUUUUGCAUCUUUCUAAAAGCAUCCGUGCUGAAGAUGGAAGACAAACUUGUUUAGCCAAUUUGUACUUGUUCCCCCAAGAAAACUUAGAAAGCCAUUCCUGAGAGAGUUUUUGUACGAAGACGACAUUGUUGAAAGAAGUUAAGCCUGCAGCUAGCCAUUGAAUCAGUACAGACAACUUCUGUACUAUUAUCUUUUAUGAAUGCGUGCAUAUCUAGGAUAAGGCCACGUAAUUUUUCAGCAUCAUGAUUCCAAAAUAUUAAAAGUAUAUGAGAAAAGAAAGUAAAAGCAUGAACUUUUUAGGAUGCCUUAAUACAAUGUAGAUAUGAAAACAAAACUAGAUACUUACACUUGUUUCUUUCAAUACUGUAAAGGCUUCCAUGUGAUGCCAUAUUCUUUGACAUUUGGGUGAUUCUUGACGAGCAAUUUCCCUUCCCAUAUCUCUUAUGAGUUGAUGCAUCCAUAACUUUUUAUCAUUUUUUAUUUUCACAAUUUCUACUAGACAUCUAUUAAUGAGAUUGUCAAUUCUAAAUCUUGCACCUAUACCGAGUCCAUCUAGUAUCCUAUUUGCAUAAUUGUAAUCCAUUCCAUUGAAGAAACAAGCAAUAUCAAGGAAUAAAUUCUUCUGAUAAUCAUCAUCAAGAGAGUUGAUCCAUCUAGUAUCGUAACUUGUUGCAAGAACCUUUUGAACUCGAAAAUUCAGAAUCACCUCCAUUUCAUGCAAUGCACUUUCCCAUACUUCUCUACUUUUUUCUGGACAAUGAGGAACCAAUAACAUGUAGGGCCAAUGGAAGUCCAUUACAAUGACGUACUAUUCUCCAAGAGUCUUCUAAAAAAUCUUCAACCGGGCGAGCUUGUCCAAAGGCAUGCCAGCUGAAAAGCUCAAGUGAUUUUUUGUUAUCUAGAGGUUCAGCUUUGCACUUGACACACUCACCAUCAGCUACAAUCGAAGCCAUAUUUCUAGUUGUUACAAUGAUUUUACUUCCUUGGAAAAGCCAAUUUUGCAUGCCAACAAUUGCAUUGAACUGGUACCAUUUGUCCAUGUCAUCGAGAACAAUAAGAGUUCUUCUGCAACACAAUGCACCCUUAAUCUUUUAUAAUCCCUUCAUCGACAUCAUGCGUCUCAUCAGCAGUCUUGUUAGGAUAUCAGAAAGAAGUUGCCUUUGUAGACAAACUACACCAUUGGAUUCUUUUGACCUUUCUCUAACAUUUGAUAGAAAGCUCCUGCCUUUAAAUUUAUGAAAGUUGUGGUUAUAAACAGUCUUUGCUAUGGCUGUCUUCCCAACUCCACCAAUCCCAUAGAGUAUAGCAAUAGCUGCACCAUGGGGGCCAUCUUGCAAACAUGAGUUGAUAUAUUUUACCAGAUGAUCUCUUCCAAUGAAAUGAAGGGGGGCAUGAAAUAUUUAACGAUGCAGUUUCUUUAAUAUUUUACCAGAUGAUUGGACAAGCUGUGCCUCAUACCUGCAUCAGAAAGAAAAAUGCAAUGUAUGAUUUAGUAGUCUCUCCGUAAAGUUUAAAAAUCUUAGUAUCCUAGAAAAAAGAAAUUAAACAAGGCUGUGCAUCAAUGAUUGAUUGCUAUUUUUGUAGCCAUGUUAUCACCGCAUAUUAAAACCAAAACAUGGAAUAAUGUAGUAAUCUUUGCCUUUUCAGGUAGUCAAGGAAAAAAAAAUGAGAAAAAAGUAUCUUUUAUUUUUAUUUUCCUAGUAUGUUCUCUGAGUUGGGAGUAUUAUAGACUUAUAGUUUCACUAAAUUGUAGUGGUAUUAUCAGUUAUCGUCUCAAUGCUUAACUACAAACCUGAAAAAAUUAAGAGUUCAGAACCAGCAUUCUAUUAUUAUGUUGUGUAGUUUCAUCAAGAAAUACAACUUACCCAUCUCCUAAAACCAUUCCUCCUAAAUCUGCAACUUCCUACAAAGCAAUCCUCCACCCAUUCACUUGCUCCAUCUCCUUCUUGAAACGCUUGUCAUGAUCCACAAAUGCUGCAGCAAAGCUCCCUGUUUGAUUUCUGACUUCAGACGGAUCCACGUCAUAGAAGACCGGCAAAAUUAUGCAGUCAGUAUUGCUCUUACAUUCCAUGAUCAUUACAAGUUCAUCCAGGCACCACCGCGACGAACCAUAUGCUUUGGAGAACACGAUUAUCGAUAUUUUUUAUUGUUGUAUUGCCUGUUGGAGCUCUGACUUGAUAUUUUCUCCUCUCCCAAUUUCAUCAUCGUCUCUAAAUGUGUGAAUCCCUGCUUGAACCAGGGCUGUGUAGAGGUGAUCGGUAAAGUUCUUGCGGGUGUCUUCACCUCUAAAACUCAAGAACACUUGAUAUUUACAACUAGAGAACACUUGACAUUUAGAAGCACAGAUGGAGCAAGAAAGGAAAGUCAUUAAGGAUCCCCAUCUGGCUAUGUAAGCCUUAAUUAUUUAGAAAGCACACAUCUUGUAAUCCUUACAAAGCCCACAGAGGUGAAUUUGUUAGUUUAUAAUUUUUUGAGUGGCAUGAUAAGAUGAGAUGAUGAACAUGUAGUCACUAACAGUGGUUUAAUCUAAGCGAUUAUCAACAAAGAAAACAAGACAUCAGCUGGAACCAAAGUACCUGCAAGUUUCCCUUCCCUUCUUCCCUUCUCUCUUCAGUUGUGGCUGCUGUUCUGUAUCAGUAAUCUAAGCGGUUCUGCUCCAAAAUUUUAAGACAACCCUUCUAUAAGAAUGGAGGUUCCAUGGUGUGAUAGUAAUAUGAUUCUGUUGUCAAAAGAGUAUGUGAGGUUUCCCGUUGACUUGGCUGAUCGGAAAAUUGGAAGAGAACUCGAGCGUUUUUUAGUUGUUUAAGAGAAAACAGCAAAUGGGUUUGUGGAGUUCACUGUCUUGGAAAAUGGUGAGCAGCAACAAGGGGACGAUGAUCAGCUGGAGAGAACCUUGUGUAUGUGCAACAGCACAGGUCGAGCUUUUAAUACCUCCAUCACUGCCAUCGGGCCACUCCCACCGCCUCCUCCACUCAGUUCUUAAAAAAGAAGCAAAAAUGGGGUUUGUGAGGGUCUACACAAAACCACAGCUCUGUGGCGUUGGUCAUGCUCUACAAGAUGAGGUUGCGGUAUAUUUCUCCUCAGACAUACUCAGCAAUUUCUUGAAGAUUUAAACCUGGAAUGCUUUCAGCACUUGAUCUUGCAUCAAGAGAAUGGGUUGGGCAAAUCAACAGAGCAUGCCAUGAUAUAG
This 67724-nucleotide long non-coding RNA is filed under the name Populus tremula. Its description in RNAcentral is "long non-coding RNA (PTRE_LNC003015)". Lineage: Eukaryota; Viridiplantae; Streptophyta; Magnoliopsida; Malpighiales; Salicaceae. The record is from RNAcentral.